Molecule: long non-coding RNA, 54040 nt
Filed under: Cucumis sativus (cucumber)
Lineage: Eukaryota; Viridiplantae; Streptophyta; Magnoliopsida; Cucurbitales; Cucurbitaceae
Description: long non-coding RNA (CSAT_LNC001555)
Source: RNAcentral
GGCGAUCACGCUUCCUUCCUGCCCCUCGCCGGUUUGCCGCCUUUAUUACCUUUGCCUGAAAAAUUAAAAAUAAGGAGGGUGAAUAUAAAAAUACCCAGUAAGCGACCCUCUACUGGUCCCGUCAGGGAAAAAUAAAUUGUUAACAUUCUAUUGGGACACCCUGCACAGUCGCAGUCUUGUGAUCCCGUAGGAUGCACAUUUCAGUCUAACGCCCCGAGAGACGUACAUUUCAGUCUAGUGUUCUGCAGAAACACAUAUCAGUUCUAAUGCUCCCGAAGGUCGGCAUAAAAAUUGGUGAUCCCGUAGGACACCUACAAGGCAUACAUCCCAAUAAAACUAACAAUUUUUCCCCUCAAUCCAUUCUAACUAUCUUUACGAUAAUUUAUGACAUCUUUCAGUUACUUCAAAAUAUCAAGUUCUUUCACUCAACAUUCUAACAGUCAACCUAUCUCACUUAAGUUCGAAGGUCGUUGAUAACAUUUUAAUACAUCCGUCAAGUAAACCACAAAGUCACAACACCCCUCAUUUUUACCAGCGCAAACCACAGUUCAUUAUAAGACACACCCAACUGAAACAAAUUCACCAAUUCACAUCCAAAAUUUUAUACAGCACAGUCUACUAAUAUCAUCCUAUCUACAUCCACACCUGCAUGUUUAAUCCCAAGACAAUCUCCAUAUAUAUUCAACAUCAAAUCUGCGUCAAUUUAUGUAUAUGCAUAAUUUUCAGUCAUUCACAGUAUACAUUCAACAAUCCACAUCAAUCCAUUCAUAAAUAUAUGUAUAUUAUAUAUAUAUAUAUAUUAUAUAUAUAUAUAUAUAUUUCCAGUUAAACACAAUAUACACUAAACAUUUAAUCUGCAACCAAAUGUGUAUAUCAUAACCAUCAUCUUUACUAAGUUUCGAUAUAAGGAUAUCGUCCAACACAACUGAAAACUUUAGGUGAGUCCAGUAGAAAGUCCCUUACCUCAAGUUUACGGUAAAGUUCUUUAAUCGUACUAAAUCCAAUAAAUUAAAUUCCAAGUAGAAUGAAACAACAAUUCCAAUGAAGCUCACUUCGAAACAUAGAUAUCCAAGCACGACUCUCCAAUAUCACCUUAAAAUCAAGCAAUACCCAAAUCAAUUAAUCAAUUUUAAAACUUACGCUAGCCAAGAACAAUACUACUAAAUCCACAAUUUCUCCUUACCAAUGAAAUCACAACAUAACUUUGACGAUUGACAAUAAAAUAGAAUCAGCGACAAUCGAAUGAAAUUGAUGCGUGCAAAACAGAUAUGCACUACAAUAAAGAUGGACGUCAGACCCGCGACUGGGAAAACGGGGAGUUGCGCGACAGAUGAGGACUUCACGAUGCACAACUGUUGGAUGCUACACGGCUCGUAUCUGAACGACGAGCGUCGGCAAAACUAUUGGGACGGGGCUACGGGUGGGGACACGGCGUUGGGACGGGGCUACCGAUGGGGACACGGCGUUGCAGAUCUGGACAACGGCACGGAGAGACACGGCGGUUACAGGCGGAUGGGCGCGGCGGUUUAGAUUCAAAGAAGAAAGAAAUGUGGCGACUGGGUUUCAGUUUCGGUGAACGAAAUGUGACGAAAAUCACGGGCGGCUGGACUUCACGAAUGGAGACCGGUGUAGACGUAGCCGGAAGAACGAGAAGGUGAGAGGGACGUGACGCCGAUGACACCAACCGACGACGACGACGACGUUCAACUUCAAUGGAAGAUCGAGACGAUCGGCGGUCGACUGCAGAUCUGAAAGGAAAGAAAAGAAAAAGAAAAAGAAAGAUGGGGGAGGCUAUGGAGGCUAGGGUAUUGGGAUGAAGUAGGAGAAGAAGAGAAAAAAAAAAAAAGAAGGAAGAAGACGGGGAAGGGUCACGCGAGAGAGAGAAGAAGAAGAGAAAUUUUAAUUUCCUUCUUUUUUUUAUAAAUUAAUAAUUAAUAAUAAUAUUAUUAUAUUAUUAUUAUUAUAUUACCUUUUCAUCCUACACUUCUUUUCUUUCCCAAUAAUUAAAUUUCUGUUCCAAGCCUAAAGAAAUAAAAUAACACUCCACAAAAAAUUAAAAUCCUAAAAAUAGAGCAAUCUGAUUAAAAUCAAUUAGCUUAGAGUUCGGGGUUUUACAAUAGAAGAAACACAAUUUGCAAGCAUAACCAAUAAAAAUGAAGAUUGAAUAUAAUGUACUGCAAUAAAAUUAAAAUACUAAAAGAAUCUUGUGGUCCCUUCCUUUUCUUCUUUGUUUUUGAUAAAGUAACUGCAUUUAUCACACAAACAAUUAGAUAGAAGACUUAAAACACUAAUCUGCAUUAGACUAAGCUGAUAUUUUUCCUCUUUCUUUGUAAGUUAAAAACCACAUGAGUUUGACACUGAUUACUACCACCACAAGUCAUUUAACUUCUUCAACUGCCUCAUACUUUUCACACGAAACUGCGUCAUACAAAUUAACCCAUAAUAAAGAUAUCCAAAUUCCAAACCAAUCCGAUUAGUUUCUGAAAUCAGUAACUCUCAUGGAAGGAAAAACUUAGACAGACUGAUGCAGAAAUUGAGAAAUGAAAGUUUGAAAAAGAUUCUUACAUCUUUGUCUAUUAGAAAAAAAAAUCGAUUUCUUGCAGUAGAAUCGUUGUUCCCUGCCAUUCUCAAAACAACCUGAAUAGCCAUGUUAAGAACAUCGAGCUCUGCACUGAAGUUGAAAGAGGAGAAAAAACAACAUGUUGAAACAAAUGAAGGUUAAACCAAAAGGAUUGAACUAUAGUUUCCAAAGUUUUCAUUUCUCUGAUAUUCACGUAAUAGUAAUAGUAAUAGUAAUAGUAAUUCCUCUUUGAAACAACCACUUUUGUUUCAACAAAGAGGACAAGGCUUAUGAUCCCUAAAUAGUUAGCAGUAUUGCUAUUUGGAGAAAAUGUUAAAGUUAAACAGCUGACAAUACCUUCCAGCCCCUACCAGUACUAUCUUUUGGUUAACAAAAUCACUCAAUGACCGCCCUUGAGCUCUCACAUUUCCAAUAGUCCACGCGAGAGCAACACCAGCAGUUCCCUUUAUGAAAUGAAAUAAAUGAAAAUAUAUGUCCUUUUAAGUAAUUAUCAACUGCAUGAAUACAUGAACAAUGAACUACCCACUUGUAUAUGUCAUCGUUGAACAUGCAGAACCUCUUACGAUAACGUUGUAAUGUUUCAAAAGCCCAUUUCAUUUGAAAAUCCUCAAACUGGCAUUAUUCAAAAUCAAAUUGCGAGAAUACAAUACUGAUUACUGGCAGUGAACACAGUUAAAAAUUUGAUAUCUUAACCAAUAAACCUGAACAAUAGCUUUAGGCCAACAUGUAUGCACGACUUCCAUAAAUUCAUCAACAAUAGAUAGAUACUCUUCUCCCUCCAAUCUAGGUAUUCCUAUUCCCUGAACUCCAAGGUCACCGAGGCCAAGAAUACGACUUCCAUCUGUCAAGACAAUCACAUCAACCUGUAGUUGGAAGAAGAAAAUACAAUGAACUUCAAAUAUGGUGUUGCUGGAAAUUAAAAGGGAUAUUCAUUUUUAUUUUGCUCAAAAUCAAUGCUCUUGAGCUUUUAAUGUCCAGAGGAAUGUGAAAGUUUCCCAAUAUAUCGUGUAUGGAAUUUUUAAACUUUUCAAAGAAAACAAGGGUGAUCAACAUACAAAAGCCUCCCGUGGAUAGAAAAUUAAUCAAACGAAAAUUCGAUUGUUCUCUAGCAGUUUGACUUUGUUGCCAAGGAAAUUAAGAGUGAUAAGAAGGCGAGGGAGUGACUUUGAGUGGUGGCAAUUAGACAGCCAAGCAACUACACUCAAAGUUGCAGGUCGAAUAGGCAGUAGGAAGAAACAAAGAAGAAGAAGAAGAAGAAGAAGAAAAGCUUCGUUUUCCCCUAGUGUGGAACAUGGAGGAUUCCUCCUCUUUUCAAAGCCCUCAUCAAACUCGGUGCUAUGUCUAGAACGCUAAGAGUAGGUGGUUUGGUUUUGGUUAGGCCAAAAGUAAAGUUUCCUCUCAUUUUUUAUGGCCUUUUUUCUGAUGUAUAUUGCAUAUGUUGUUUGUUUUUUUUAUCUCUUAAUUGUUUCACUGUUUUACGUUUGCAAGUCUCUCUUUUCUUUUCUUUGGAAUGCAAUGUGGUAACUAGGUCUUGCUACAACCGGUGGGCUAACCUUUCUAUGGUUGUACACUUAGUUUUUAAGUUUGACUACUCCCUUCAAAGUGACAACAAGUUUUGUUAAUGCCCACCAUUUUCUAAAGGGAUUUAGUCUAUUGUGGCUAAACAAGAGCCUCCUAACUCAUGUUUGACAAGACAACAAAUUUGUUUAAAAUCAUCUCAAUUUCUAAAGAGUACCUCCUAUCCUUUUUUAACUCUAUCUAGGUUAGGUUUGGACAUUUGGACUAAGUGCAUCAUAGGUAAGUCAGGCAAAGCAACAAAGGAAGACAAAGCUAGAAAAGUAUCCAUACUUAUUUAUUAUAUACAUGCAAUCAAGCAUUCACAACACACAUACCAUUUUCUCAAUCAUUGCAUUCACAUCUCAGUAAGAUGUGGCUAAAAAGGGGCUUAAACCAAAAAAGACGGCAAGCUUAUUCUCAAAUUUCAGCACAUAUAAUCAUCAACAUUCAGAAUUUUACAUCACAAACCUAAGCUUAGUGGUCAAGGGUUGCCAGUCAUGUUUUGUUUAGGGUUUAGGGUUUAGGGUUCUUGUUUUGUUUUUAUCGACUGUUAUGUUGGGUGAAGAACUCUAAGAACUUGCCGGCUUUGCUUUCUACUUGACCUAACAAUCGUAUUUUGCUUUCAAACAAUCUUAUACAAAUGUGUAUGGCCACAAGAGGGAUUUAAAAUUAAUAUAAAAAAGGCAGUAGAAUAUGGCAAAAAAGGGGGAUUAAAAUUGAGAUAAAAAAGACAACCACACAUAUUAUUAUGUACAUAAUUCACAAUAUUCAGAAAAUGAACCAAGUGUUCUACUCAUUUCUAAGCUAUCAAUAUAUGCAUUUUCAACAUAUGUAACAUAUUCAAAUAACAAAUACAAUCACAAAUCCGAGCUCCAUUCUCAUGGGUUAGGCAUACAUGCAUUUUUAUGCUAAAAAGCGAAGUAGACAUGGUACUUAUUCUAAGCAUAGAGCAUUGCAAAAGUUUCUAAAUUUUGACAUUUUUAGGCGAAAUUUGCAAAAUGAAAAUUUCCCAAAGGACAUGGAAUGUGCAAGGCUACAACCUAACCCCACUUAAAAAUUUGCAUUGUCCUCAAAGCAUUUUAAGCAAGAUUCUACGGAUGGAAAAAAAAAAAGGAGAACAGAAGACCUCCCCUUGUAACCUAGUUUCUUCAUGGAAGCUUGCUUGCAAAGAUCCCAAGUUUGGUUAUAUUUCAUUUUCCUUUAUUCCUACAAAAAGAAAACAAUAAUUUCGCAUCGAAUUUUAUUAAAGAGGUUAAACUAAAAAUUUUAGAAAAAUGUGUAGAAUUGUUUAAGCUCGGUUGCAUUUUCUAAGUAUCACUUGAAUUAUUAAAAUGACCUAACAAAUAUUCAAUACAAGUUCGUAACUCAUAACCUACCAAAAAGUUCAAAAAGAUUGUUGUGGGUGUUCCACCAAACCUUUUGUAAAUUUCAUACAUCAAUAAAAUUACUUCUUAUAGGGGUGGGGGGGAAGAAACUAUGUUUUAGAGACAGAUGGCUCUAAAGCACACAAACACUCUCCAUCUCACUCUCUAUCUGCCUUGUAUCCAAUUUAAUCCAGCAUUCAUUUGGGGUAUUGUAGGUUCAUAUUAAAAAAUAGUCAUUCAUGUUGUGAUGCAAAGACCCUUUUAUGUAUCUAAAACUAAAAUCACGAAAAUCAGCGUGGACAUGCAGCACAACAAACUGAAUUUCCAUGGGAAGCCUUUGCUAACAAGAUGGUAGACAAUAAUUACUCAAACAAGAGAGAAGGACUAUAAUUAAUUAACAGAAGUACAAAUCAAUAUAGGUGCACAACCACCAAGCACCCAACAAAAGGAACACUAAACUUCAAUAACAAAAGAAAUGUAGUAUCAGGACUAUCCUUACCUUUGUUAUCGAAGAAGAUACCUUGGCUCUAAUAAGCCCGAUGCUCUGCCUUACAACGUUCCAUUACCUCAGUAUUGCAGUGUUUCUUCAAAGUUUGGGAAUCUACCUAAAACAUAAACAUAUAUUACAACUUGAAAACCUCCAUGUCAGAAACUUCACUUUAAUUAUCAAACCGAAGAUGCUAUGCAAGAAUUAGUUAUCAGAAAUACAACAUAAAUAGUAAUGAUAUUCUUUGGGGAGGGUAUAAAAGCAUCUUUCACCUUAGAAAUAAGCUUAGCAGUUAGCACUAACCUUUGUAUAAGAAGUUAACACCGUUUGAUUACUUCAUAAACUUCAGCUAUGAAAUCUGGUAAAGAGAAAGACCUAAUCCAUAAUGUUAAAGAGGAAAAGACCAAGUCAAAUUCCUUUAUUCAAACAGGUUAGUAUCACAGCUCCAAAGCAAAAAACUUACGGACCUCUACGACGAAUUUCCUUAAAUGAUGUAGCAGCAUCUGGUUCUUGAAACACAAUUUCAUUUAUGCUGUGAAAAAUAAGAUCGAUAAAUAAAACUUUUGGCUUUAAUUAGCCACAUAAACAUAAAGUUCUGACAGUAAAACAAAAGCUAAUAGAUAAUUAACUAUACAGUUUGUAGGCAAAAUACCAAAUAGCCCAUAAUCAAGAUCACAACUGAAGGAAACAAUAAUGUGUAGUUUAUCAUUUCCAACCAAAUAAUUUAAUAAUAAAUAAGGUCAAAUGGCUAAAUAAUAUGGCCUUUCACAUAAAUAUUUACUCCUGAAUUUUUUGAAGGAUAAUGUUAUCGCUUCUCUCCCACGUUUCACGAAGGCCCUCAGCCAUCUGCCAAUUCCAAUAUAAAAAAAUUAUUUUACAUAUUAUAUUUUUUUUACAUAUUCCUAUUGAAGAAUCUCAUUUGAGCAUUUUGUGGUCAAUUUGACUUGAAAGAAACGACAUAACUUUCAAUAAGAAAGAAGCAAGAUGCCCAGUUGUUUUUAACUGCUAUUUUUCUCUUUUUUUUUUUUUUUUUUUUUUUGCUUUAACUUGCUGUAAAUUGGAGAUGUUUUCCAUAACUACUUCGGCUUAUGUAAUUUACCUUCUCCCUAAAUGCAACCAUAAAUCAAACAAACUAGAUGAAUAAAUUUACACCACAGAAAUCCAUCCUAUGAAGACUACAUCGGAGAAAGAUGGGAUAAGGAUAAAGCAUAGGAAGAACAAAUACCCCAUGGGAAGUAAACUGAUAAAAAAUACUUUGUCUUGAGAGUAAUAUAUCCCGGACCAAUUUUCUGCUCUGCCAGCCAUUAAGAUUUACCCACUGCAACUCUGCACACAAAUAUUUUCUUAUAAACAAUAAUUAACACAAUCUAAUUGGUAUCUUAUGGAUAUCAAAGACAACAUGGAUCCAUAUUUUCCUGAAUGAAGUAAGAAUUUAACACAUGAUUCAAGUUUAGAGGAAUGUUGUGAUGUUAAAAGAAAGUAAAGUUAUUACUACAAGACCUUAAGUAAAAAAAAUAAAAGUAUCUCCAUGAAACCACAAAUAUUCGAUUUAAAUGUAGUUAUAUAGGUGAGGUAAAGCUACUUCAAUAUCUUUAAACUAUAAUGCUAUUGUAAAUAACCGACAAAAAGUUGAAUACAAUAAAUUAAUAAUCAAAGAAAAAUUUUGGAUUUUGUGGUCAAAUUCUACCUUUUAGAACCCUAAAAUUGGAAGGAUUUCAAAUUAGUCUACGAACAAAGAAUUUGGAAGCAUUUGUGAUCCACUAAGGAGCUCUCCCAGGGCAUCCUUGGGUACUUAUCGAGUAGAGACUGGAAGUAGUUGUGAUCAUCGUCCAUAGUAGUCAUCCAAGCCAGCAAGGGAAAGACCACGACGCGCAGUGGAAUAGGAAAAGGAGCGUCGAGCCCAACUUUCGUGUCACCAGCAAUCCUUUUUCCUUUAUUGGUAGACCGAAAAAGGCUUUGUCAAGCAGGCAGGCAUGAUUGUCACGUCGAUCGAUAGUUGAGAAAUCUGGCGUUGUUAGGGCUAGGAGAAGAAGAUGGUCGUGAAUCGGUGAUUUUGAGGAAGACGAAGAAGAGUACAAGAAGUUUUUCAUUAGCCAUCAAUUCAGGAAAUAAAUGAAGCAUCAAGCUUGUCUAAUAAACUUGACAGGCUAGAGGAGGACUUAAACAAGUAAAAGGACAAAAUGAAGCAAGCUCAAGCAACAAAUUUUUUGUUAAGUAAACAUAAAUAUUAACUAGAGGCUUAAAUAAAAUAUUUCACCACCAUCACCACCAAAACAACCACAACAAAAACAAAAAGCCCAGAUAUAUUGCCAUUGACAACAAAAACAGAGCAAUAUAACCACAAUAAACACAGCUGUCAUAACCGAUGCUGCAUACAGUAAAAAGGCUGCAAAAUAAAAGUCAAAGUUAUUACCAAUAUGUUGUUAAAUCAAAUGACUUGCUAAAACCUGAGAACCAUAUAUGGGGUACAAAAUUAUAGAUUAUGAAUGAAAAAUUUUAAACAUAUCAUUCACAGAGAACCAAGUAACUGAUUCCAUAAAUUUUCCAUUUCUCAAUCAGUGCUGGAACUUUCCUAUAACAAGAUGACUCCCUGAGUUGUAGUCUUCACCACCCCAGAAGAAAUACCUAAACAGUUUCUCUAUACUUUUAAUCAUCCUGUAAGGAGCUUUGAUGAGGGAAAGGAAAUGCAAAGGCAACCCAUUGAGCAACGGAGCAAUCAAUGAUUACCAGCCACCUUUGGAAAGAAACAAAUUCUUCCAUUUAGCAAUCUUACUUCUAAUUUUGUCAACAUCCCAGAAAGCCAGAAACCAAUGCUUACCACCCAAAGGAAAGCCUAGCGAGUUAAGGGUGAGAGGUUCCAUCUUACAACCCAACUCAACCGCAAGCCUAGGACCUCCUAUCUUAUAUCAAUAUAGUAGAAGAGAAAAAAAAAAGAAUUAAUACGUGAGAAGCACGUGUGAGUUAGUUAGUAGGAGGGAAGGAGAGACUAGUAUAAAUAGAUGAAAUAGAAAGGUGGGAAAGUUAGUUAGAGAUUCAAGUAAAGAGUACCUUUUUGUUCCCUUGAAAGAUAGGUUGCAGAAGGUAUGAGUGUUAGCUUGUAUUUGGGAAUUCAUUCCCUUGCUACUAUCAAUAAAAUUCCUACGUUAAUACCAAUUGGAGUUCCAUCAAACACCUUAUGCUCCUUCAUAUUAAUCCAAAUUAGGAAGAAAUUCGCCAUAUUCAAAUUAAAGAAUGAACAUCCCCUGGACAAAAAAAAAAAAAAGUGUCAUCAGCAUACUGAAGAUGAAGGAUAGCCACCUUUUUUCUACUGAUUUCCCAACCUUCAAGAGCUUAUUUCUCCAUAUAGAAGUAAACUAAUCUGUUGAAAGCAUCACCACGGAGGGUAAAAAGGAUGGGGACAGGGGGUCUCCUUGUCUUAGAUCCCUUUGACUCAUGUCACCCAUAUAUUGUGAGCUUUUGCAUUUAAGAUGCAGACGGCUAAAGAGAUGAAGUAAACAAUAUUUUACUACCAUGUAGAGACAGCAAGUAAGACUCUAUCGUUUAAUAGGGAAGUUCCAAUGCUUCUUAUUACCCUGGUGAAGAAAAAAAAAGGAGUUGUCAACAGUUCUCUGCUUUUUCACAGACUGCAAACACUAGAAUGCAGGUAAUCACGAGGUUUCACGUCUCAACUACUACUGUUUGACUGUUGUAUCAAUAGUACCGAGAGCCCAAUUUCAAACAAAAAAUUUAACCUUUUCAAGAACUUUGAAACUCCAAAUUGCUUCAUCCAACUAACAAAACUGAAGUAAGCCCCAACUAACGAAAAAAGAAAGGAUAUAUACAAGUUGUGAAAGGGCUUAAAAGGACAGAAGCUUAUUCUCAAAUUUCAGUACAUAUACUCAUCAAAAUUCAAAAUCUCACGUCACAAACCCGAGCUUAGUGCUCAAGGGUUGAUAGUCAUGCCUUUUAUGCAAGAUUUAAGAAGCUAUAAUGCUCAUUGUUGUAAUGAAAAACUUCUGAAAAUUUUUGAAAUUUGGGCAAAAUUUGAAAUCCCUCAAGUUUAGACAAAACGAGCGAGCUAUUAUCCACCCUCCGCUUAAAAAAUUGCUUCGUCCUCAAAGCUUUUGAAAAUCAAAGUAAAGGGAGAAAAAUAAGUGGGGGGGGGGGGGAACGGUGGACUCCCCUAGAAGGAUCAACAUCCUUGACUUUGGUUUAAAGCUUGCAUGGAUAAGCCUCUUCAUUCCUUUUUCAUUGAUUAUUCAUCCUUGUUCUUCAAAGGAAAAUCUCUCAAUUUUCUUCAAAGGAAGGUUCACGUUUUCUCCUACAAAGGGUGUGUUUCUAAUUUUCAUAACUUUAUGACUUAAUAUAGCAGUGUUGUAUAAUAUACAAAUCCAUAAUAAAAUAAACACCAUUUACAGCAGAGCCAAGAAAAAUGAAGAUUGUAUAUAAUGUACUGCAAUAAAAUUAAAAUACUAAAGAAUGUGUUAGGAUGUGAGCGUAAGCAAAAAGUAAAAUCAAUGGCUAAAGAAGAGAAAAAUUGAAUGACUUCAACAAAAAAUGUAACCUGUAAGUUGCUAAUUCUUUUUCUUUUUCACGCAGAAGAUCAUCCUUGACCCAAGCCUGUGAAGAAAUUAUAGAAUAAAAGGGUUCGUGAAGAAAAAAACAAAUAUUUAAAAACAUUCUUAUGCAAGCAAAUCAAGCAUGAGGAAAAAACCAACAGACCGCUUCGUUGUCUAAUGUAAUUGAUUGCAAUUCUCUAUCUUUAUCUUCUAUUCUCCUUUCCAGUUCAUGAAUAGGUGGUCUCUUUCACAUAGUUGUUCCUGUACAGCCACAAACUUGAAUUUGAUUCUUCACACUAUUCCUCCUCUUCAAGAACAAAAAAACAUGAAGGAAUUGGGAUUAGAAAAAGUGCAUACUUGAAACAUUUGAAGGCCCACCAGGCAGGCACAUAAGCACUAGCUGGUAACCAAAGAAACAAAAAACAGAGAGAGAGAGAGAGAGAGAUCAGUUUCAAAUUCAAACAAAAUAAUGGUUCACAUUCACACAAGUAAUGUGAUAGACCACCAAUUAUUUUACAAUAUAGUAGGAGGGAAAAGGGAGCAGUUGCACGUGAACAAGAGAAGGGAAAUAGAGAGAAGUGGAAAAAGAAGUGGAAACCACCUUGGUGGGGACCAUAGUUAGUUACAUGGGAGAGAGUUAAAAGGGAAAGAAUGGAGGGAAGAGAGGGGUGGUUAGUCUGUUUCUGGAAGUGGAGGGCUGUAAUUUCCUAGAGAGCAGGGAAUGCAGAAAGUGUUCAGUUUCUGUAGUCUGGAGCAAGUUAUAUCCAUUAUCGUGAAGUACUUUACUGUUUUGAUGUUUUAUGUUGAACAUGGUUUAUCCUUGUAUUAGUUCUUGUGUUGUACUUUGUUUUCGAGACUGUGUUAGAACCUGUUUUCUGUAAAAGUUUGGCUGAUUAAUAAAUUAGUAGAACACACUAUUUGGUGUUCUAUCAUUUUGGCAUCAAAGAAAUCGAAUAUGUGAAGUUCUAUAUCAUGGCUCAAAAGCAAAUUGAGGAAAAGUUGGAAAUGGUAGAUCAAGAAAUAUCCGGCAUUCGAGCAGAAUUAAAUGAUCUGCCAACAAUCAAGGAAAACAUUCAUCUUUGGCGAAGAGUAUGCGAGGUUAGGAGUACAAGCUGAGAAGCUACAACAUUAACUAGAAACACUGUUGAAAUAUAUUGAAGGAAUGAUCAAAGGGAAGACAACGAUGGAAAAAGUACUAGAAGGAUCAUCAAGUAAAGUUGAUAGCAUGGUUGAUUUUCAACGAUGAUGGGAGGAAAAUUUGAGGAAAAACAUACCAAGUUGGAGGGUGAAGACGCUGCACGACCGAAGCAAAUUUUAAAAAAUUGAAACGCCAGUUUUUGUGGGAAAUGAUCCUGAUUCUUGGUUGUUUAGGGCUGAGAGAUACUUUCAGAUACACAAAUGGAGUGAGUCAGAGAAAAUGACUGUGUCCAUUAUUAGUUUUGAUGGAGCAGCUUUGGAUUGGUAUAGAUCUCAUGAAGAUCGUGAACCGUUUGUUAAUUGGGACGAUUUAAAGAAGAGACUUAUUGUCUGAUUUCGAUCGGGUCGUGAGGGAUCAAUUCUGGGAAGAUUUUUAAAGAUCAAGCAAGAAACUACAGUGGAAGAAUAUCAAAAUUUAUUUGAUAAAUCAGUAGCACCAUUGCCUAUUCUACAAAAGGCUGUCUUAGAAGAAACAUAUAUGAAUGGUUUGAAACCAUGGAUUAAGGCAGAUAUGGAAUGUUGGGAACCUAUGGGGCUUGCUCAAAUGAUGAAGUUGGCCCAAAAGAUUGAGGACCGAGAAGUGAUAAGGGGAGAAUCAAGUUUCAAACAUGCAGCGGAUGGAAAACUUCAGGUUUCUUCUUUUAAACCAAAAAUUCCUGUGAUUUCUAAUGGUAAUAAGUCAGGAGGGAUUGUUCCAAUGCGGACGAUUACACUUCGAGGAGUGGCUGGUGAACCUAAUCGACGAGAAGGACCACUAAAACGACUUUCUGAUGUUGAAUUUCAGGCUAGACAUGAGAAAGGUCUCUGUUUUCGUUGUGAGGAAAGAUUUUUUGUGGGCCAUAACAUAAGUGUAAAGUGAAAGAUCAUAAGGAACUUAGAGUUUUAGUUGUUGGGGAAAAUGGGGAAGAACUAGAAGUAGUUGAAGAAGAGGAUUCAAAAACUGAAAUACAGGAGACUAAAGUUGUUAAACAAGAAGAACUCGUGAUCGAAUUAUCAAUAAAUUUGGUUGUGAGAUUAACAAACCCCGGAACUAUGAAAAUUAAAGGUAUGAUUCGAGAAAGGUCAGUAGUAGUAUUGAUAGAUUGCGACGCGACCCAUAAUUUUAUAUCUGAAAAUUUAGUAACUCAAUUGUUGUUGUCAUUGGAAGAAACUUCUCAUUAUGGGGUUAUUUUGGGGUCUGAAUCUGCUGUAAAAGGGAAGGGAAUUUGUAAACAAGUGGAACUGCUAUUGGUGAAUGGAAGGUUGUAGAUAAUUUUCUGCCAUUGGAAUUUGGGGGGGGGGGGGGGAGUGGAUGUCAUUCUUGGUAUGCAAUGGCUACAUACAUUAGGAGUAACCGAAGUAGAUUGGCGAAAACUUACUUUGACAUUCAUACAAAAUGGGAAGAAGGUUGUAUUAAGGGGAGAUUCGAGUCUUACGAAGGCUAGGGUGAGUUUGAAGCACAUGACGAAGACAAGGACAAAACUUGAUUAGGAGUAACCGAAGGACAGAACUUGAGUAUGUAGUCAUUCUUGGUAUGCAAUGGCUACAUACAUUAGGAGUAACCGAAGUAGAUUGGCGAAAACUUACUUUGACAUUCAUACAAAAUGGGAAGAAGGUUGUAUUAAGGGGAGAUUCGAGUCUUACGAAGGCUAGGGUGAGUUUGAAGCACAUGAUGAAGACAAGGACAGAACUUGAUUAGUAGUAACCGAAGGACAGAACUUGAGUAUGUAGUCAUUCUUGGUAUGCAAUGGCUACGUACAUUAGGAGUAACCGAAGUAGAUUGGCGAAAACUUACUUUGACAUUCAUACAAAAUGGGAAGAAGGUUGUAUUAAGGGGAGAUUCGAGUCUUACGAAGGCUAGGGUGAGUUUGAAGCACAUGAUGAAGACAAGGACAUAACUUGAUUAGGGAUUUCUGAUUGAGUGUAGAUCUUUGGAAGGUGGAAUGGCAUUUGCAGCGUUGUAUGGGGUUGAUGAAGUGCCUACCAUUCAUGAGUCUAUUCUAGCCGUGUUAGCUAAGUAUGAAGAUGUUUUUGAUUGGCUUGGAGAGUUGCCACCACAAUGUACCAUUGAAGAUCAUAUACAUCUUAAAAAGGGGACUAAUCCAGUCAAUGUUCGGCCUUAUAGAUAUGCAUACCAGCAAAAGGAUGAGACGGAAAGAUUGGUUGAUGAAAUGAUGGCAUCUGGCAUAAAAACCUAGUACUAGUCCAUAUUUGAUCCCGUUCUUGUUGGUGAAAAAAAUGGUAGUUGACGGUUUUGUGUAGAUUACCGUGCGUUGAAUAGUGUGACCGUUCGAGACAAGUUUCCUAUUCCAGUAGUAGAGGAAUUGUUUGAUGACUUAAUGGGGCUAAUUAUUUUUGAAGAUUGAUCUCAAGGCGGGAUAUCAUCAAAUUAGAAUGUGUAAAAAGGAUGUGGAGAAAACAGCUUUUAGAACUCACGAGGGGCAUUAUGAGUUUCUUGUCAUGCCUUUUAGGCUCACCAAUGCACCAUCAACAUUUCAAGCUUUGAUGAAUAGUAUCUUUAAACCUUACCUACGCAGGUUUGUCUUAGUCUUUUUUGAUGAUAUUUUAAUUUACAGCAGAAGUUUGGAUGAAAAUCUUCAACAUUUAGAAUGGGUGUUAGAGGUGCUGCGAGAGAAUAAAUUAUAUGCUAAUAUGCACAAGUGUGGGUUUGCCAAAAUGAAAGUGGAGUAUCUUGGCCAUAUAAUUUCGGGCAAGGGUGUAGAGGGUGAUCCCGAGAAAAUUAGAUCUAUCAAAGAAUGGCCCGUGCCCACUAAUGUCCGUGAAGUUCGUGGAUUUCUUGGGUUGACAGGAUAUUAUCGAAGAUUUGUAAUGAAUUAUGGAAGUGUGGCUGCUCCUUUGACUCAAUUAUUGAAGAAAGGAGCUUAUGAAUGGACUGUUGCAGCUGCUGAAACUUUUGAGAAUUUAAAGAUGGCUAUGAUGACUCUCCCAAUCUUAGCACUGCCAGAUUUUUCCUUACCAUUUGAAAUAGAGACCGAUGCUUCUGGAUACGGGGUAGAUGCUGUCUUAAUUCAAAAUCAUCGGCCAAUUGCUUAUUUUAGCCUGACAUUAGCUAUGAGGGGUCGUGCUAAACCAGUUUAUGAACGGGAAUUUAUGGCUGUAGUUUUGGCUGUGCAAUGUUGUAGACCUUAUCUUUUGGGCAGGAGGUUUGUAGUGAAAAUUGAUCAACGAUCAUUGAAACUUUUAUUGGAACAAAGGGUUAUCCAACCUCGACAUCAGAGGUGGAUUGCUAGGCUUCUUGGCUACAAUUUUGAUGUCGUGUAUAAACCGGGACUAGAAAACAAAGCAGCAGAUGCCUUGUCUCGUGUUCCCCAACUUAAUCAACUUACUGUUGAGAUCAGUUAAAUUGGCAGUCCCCAACACUGAAGUUGACCCUAAAUUAGUCCAAGAAAUUAAUGGGAUGGAUCUGAAUGUCUUGUUCAAUGAUGAAGAUAUUCUCCCUAUUAAAAUUCCCCUGGAUUUGCCUAAUGAUUUAGUGUCUAUAGUCGGUGAUUGUGGAAUCAUUAUGGCUUAAAUUAGAUGUGCAACUGCCUUUUCCUCCUCCCAGUCAUUAUGAAGGUUGUCUCCUGGAGCACUAGGAGUUUGAACGACUCCUCUAAACGUGAAGCACUUAAAAAAUUCAUCAACUAUUGUAGUCCUAAUGUAGUCAUGAUUCAAGAAUCUAAGAAGGAUACCUUGAACUCAAUGCUAAGUUUGACUGCUCCCUUCGGAGUGACAAGUCUCGUUUUUCCCCUAGUGUGGAACGGGGAGGAUUCCUCCUAUUUUCAAAGCCCUCAUCAAACUCAAUGCUAUGUCUAGAACGCUAAGAGUAGGUGGUCUGCUUUUGGUUAGGCCAAAAGUGAAGUUUCCCUUCAUUUUUUUAUGGGAUUUUUCUGAUGUAUAAUGCAUAUGUUCUUUGUUUUUUUUAGCUCUUAAUUGUCUCGCUGUCUUAAGUUUUACAUUUGCAAAUCUCUCUUUUCUUUCUUUGGUACGCACACAAUAACCGAUGGGGUAACCUUUCUAUGGUUCUACACUUAGUUUCUAAGUUUGACUGCUCCCUUCGAAGUGACAACAAGAUUUGUUAAUGCCCACCCUUUCUAAAGGGAUUUAGUUCAUUGUGGCUAGAGAAGAGGCUCCAAACUCAUGUUUGACAAGACAAAUUUGUUAAAACCAUCUCAAUUUCUAAAGAGUACCUCCUAUCCUUUUUUAACUCUAUCUAGGCUAGGUUUGGACUAAGCGCAUCAUAGGUAAGUCAUGGCAAAGAAACAAAGGAAGACAAAGCUAGAAAAGUAUCCAUGCACUUAUUUAUUAUAUGCAUGCAAUCAAGCAUUCACAACACACAUACCAUUUUCUCAAUCAUGCAUUCACAUCUCCAUAAGAUAUCGCUAAAAAUGGGCUUAAACCAAAAAACACUGGCAGCUUAUUCUCAAAUUUCAGCACAUAUACUCAUCAACAUUCAGAAUUUUACAUCACAAACCCAAGCUCAGUGAUCAAGGGUUGCUAGUCAUGCUUUUUAUGCAAGAUCUAAGUAAUCUAAGAAGGUAUAGUGCUCAUUAUUGUAAGGAAAUUUUUUUUUAGAAAUUUUGAAGGGCAAAAUUUGAACCUCCAAGUUUAGACUAAACAUGCAAGCAAUUGCCCACCCCCACUUAAAAAAUUGCAAACUUUUGAAAAUCAAAAUAAAGGGAGAAAAAUAAGGGAGAACUUUGGACUCCCCUGGAAGGAUCGACAUCCUUGGCUUUGGUUUGAAGCUUGCAUGGAUAAACCUCUUCAUUCCUUUUUCAUUGAUUAUUCAUCCUUGUUCCUGAAAAUCAAAGAAAGUUCUCUCAAUUUCAUUUAUUACUAAAAUUAGGAUAAUUAUAUUAACUGUAUUUUUAACACUUUUGGUAGUUUAUGUUUUGAGUGUAUUUUCAAUGGUAUUUUUAUAUAAAGUACAAAGUUUAUGGGUAUUCUGUAUAAUUUAGCCUUGAAAUUUCUCAGACAUGCAUCAAAUCAAAAUUUCAAAACCAUCGGUAUACUUAUGGAACCUCUUUAACAAAAAAAAAAAAAAAUCAAACCCAUGAAGUCUAACUAACCGAACACAAUUAGAUUUCUAGUAGCAGUAAUUUACCACAGAAACAUAAAUUAAUAGUUAGAAAAUAAUUGCAUGGCAUUUCUAUAAAUUUAUCACAUGAUCUUUCUUCUUCCUUUUUUUCUUUCCUUUUUUUGAUAGAACUCUAACUAAGUUAGUUAGGCUUCUACAUGUAGCAGUUAAUUAAAAUAGAGACAGAAACUAUAGAUUAACAAACAAUUGGAAGGCCUCUCGAUCAAUUUAAUACACAAUAAGUUCAUACUUGUGUCGUUUUGGAAGUAUGAAAAACGAAAAAUCGCUAUUUUCCCUAAACGAGAAACCUCUUCAUUCCUUUUUCGUUGAUUAUUCAUCCUUGUUCUUCAAACCUCAAGCCUUAAAAUUGAGGCAGUAGAGGAAAUUCUCUCAAUUUACUUCAAAGGAAGGAUCAUGUUCUCUCCUACAAAGGGUGUGUUUCUAAUUUUCAUAACUUUAUGACUUAAUAUGGCAAUGUUGUAUAAUGCAAAUCCAUAAUAGAAGAAACACCAUUUGCAGCACAACCAAGAAAAAUGAAGAUUGAAUAUAAUGUAAUGCAAUAAAAUUAAAAUACUAAAGAAUCUUGUGGUCCCUUCCUUUUCUUCUUUGUUUUUGAUAAAGUAACUGCAUUUAUCACACAAACAAUUAGAUAGAAGACUUAAAACACUAAUCUGCAUCGGACUAAGCUGAUAUUUUUCCUCUUUCUUUGUAAGUUAAAAACCACAUGAGUUUGACACUGAUUACUACCACCACAAGUCAUUUAACUUCUUCAACUGCCUCAUACUUUUCACACGAAACUGCGUCAUACAAAUUAACCCAUAAUAAAGCUACCCAAAUUCCAAACCCCAUCCGAUUGGUUUCUGAAAUCAGUAACUCUCAUGGAAGGAAAAACUUGGACAGACUGAUGCAUAAAUUGAGAAAUGAAAGUUUGAAAAAGAUUCUUACAUCUUUGUCUAUUAGAAAAAAAUCGAUUUCUUGCAGUAGAAUCGUUGUUCCCUGCCAUUCUCAAAACAGCCUGAAUAGCCAUGUUAAGAACACCGAGCCCUGCACUGAAGUUGAAAGAGGAGAAAAAACAGCAUGUUGAAACAAAUGAAGGUUAAACCAAAAGGAUUGAACUAUAGUUUCCAAAGUUUUCAUUUCUCUUAUAUUCACGUAAUAGUAAUAGUAAUAGUGAUAGUAAUAGUGAUAGUAAUAGUGAUAGUAAUAGUGAUAGUAAUAGUGAUCAAGUAAUAGUUAUAGUAAUAGUAAUUCUUCUUUCAAACAACCACUUUUGUUUCAACAAAGAGGACAAGGCUUAUGAUCCCUAAAGAGUUAGCAAUAUUACUAUUUGGAGAAAAUGUUAAAGUUAAACAGCUGACAAUGCCUUCCAACCCCUACCACUACUAUCUUUUGGUUAACAAAAUCACUCAAUGGCCGCCCUUGAGCUCUCACAUUUCCAAAUAGUUCAGCGAGAGCAACACCAGCAGUUCCCUUUAUGAAAUGAAAUAAACAAAAAUGAAUGUCCUUUUAAGUAAUUAUCAACUGCAUGAAUACAACAUGAACUACCCACUUGUAUGUCAUCGUUGAACAUGCAGAACCUCUUACGAUAACGUUGUAAUGUUUCAAAAGCCCAUUUCAUUUGAAAAUCCUCAAACUGGCAUCAUUCAAAAUCAAAUUGCGAGAUUACGAUACUGAUUACUGGCAGUGAACACAGUUAAAAAUUUGAUAUCUUAACCAAUAAACCUGAAAAUAGCUUUAGGCCAACAUGUAUGCACGACUUCCAUAAAUUCAUCAACAAUAGAUAGAUACUCUUCUCCCUCCAAUCUAGGUAUUCCUAUUCCCUGAACUCCAAGGUCACCAAGGCCAAGAAUACGACUUCCAUCUGUCAAGACAAUCACGUCAACCUGUAGUUGGAAGAAGAAAAUACAAUGAACUUCAAAUAUGGUGUUGCUGGAAAUUAAAAGGGAUUUUCAUUUUUAUUUUGCUCAAAAUCAAUGCUCUUGAGCUUUUAAUGUCCAGAGGAAUGUGAAAGUUUCCCAAUAUAUCGUGUAUGGAAUUUUAAACUUUUCAAAGAAAACAAGGGUGAUCAACAUACAAAAGCCUCUUGUGGAUAGAAAAUUAAUCAAACGAAAAUUCGAUUGUUCUGUAGCAGUUUGACUUUGUUGUCAAGGAAAUUAAGAGUGAUAAGAAGGCGAAGGAGUGACUUUAAGUGGUGGCAAUUAGACAGCCAAGCAACUACACUCAAAGUUGCAGGUCGAAUAGGCAGCAGGAAGAAACGAGAAGAAGAAGAAGAAGAAAAGUUUUCGAUCUAUCAAACGUGAUCAACAUACAAUAGAAAGUCAUUUAAAUUAUCCAAAUAUCUUUUGAAGUAAUUUUAACAAUUUCAAAAUAACUCUUAAUCAUGCUCUAAAUAUGGAAUGAAUUAUCUAUUCAACUACAAAUACAAAAGUUUUCCUAAAUCACUCUAACUAAUUAUACAAAUUCCACAACACAUAUAUCACAUGCUUCCCAAGAACCCACAAAAUUAUUCAAUGCGGCAUUUCAUCAAACAGCUGGUGGAUGGGGACAACAAAAACAAGUGUUUAACAAAAUUAUCUUAGAAACAAACACAUUAAUAUUACCUGAAGAUGGAACUCCAAUUGAACAGCCUUGAAAAAGUGAUGGAAAAACAAACAGAACAUAAAGAUUGUGGGACUCCUCAACUCCAAUAAAUCCUGCAAUGGAAAAAUGGGUUAGAAGAAGGUGGAAAAGCAUAGUAGAGGAUGAUGAUAAUGAAAAUGGGUAGUAAUGUUUUUCAGCAGCUAUCUUUUUCUUUUCUUUUUUUUUUUCAUGUAGUUGAUGGUUGUUCUUGAUUGUCUUUAUCUUUAUUUAUUUUUUCCUUUUUUGCUUUUGGGAAAAAACAGUUUGUUGAAUAAGAGGUGAUGAUGCUGGUGAGGGAAUUUAUUAAAGUAAUGAAUACUUUUUGGAGGACUUAAACAAGUAAAAGGACGAAAUGUAUAAUUAGUUAGAGGAGGACUUAAACAAGUAAAAGAACCAAAUGAAGCAAGCUCAAGCAACAAAUUUUCUGUUAAGUAAGCAUAAAUAUUAACUAGAGACUUAAAUAAAAUAUUUCACCACCACCACCGCAACAACAACAUAAAACCCAAAUAUAUCGCCAUUGACAACAGAAACAGAUCAAUAUAAGCACAAUAUAUUACAUGGAAAAUAUGGAGAUAAACGACAUGAAGGUUUCCCUUUCACUUACAAAGAGAAUCAUUAAGUAACUUCUCGUUGUUAGUACCAAUAUCUAGCAUUACUGGAAGAAUCUGUCAAUUAAACAAGAGUAAACUUAAUGAAAUUCAAAAAGUGGGGUUAAGAAAAGUUGCUAAAAAAAUGUCAACAUUAAAUGAUAUUAGUAUUCUUAGAUAAUCUACAAAUUUCAUGAAGAAAAGACUGCAGACUUGAGAGUUACCCCCACAAUCAGGAAUACUUGCUGGAACGGGAAAAAGAUAUCGGCAAAUUCUAAACACGGCACACUAAAACUCUCACUCUCCUGGUUCAUGCCUAAAAUCACAUGUACAUGUCAAUGCUGAUAGUGCCUCUUUCACUGAAACAAACCAAAUUUCAGUACCAACUAAGAUUCAGAAAAUAAGGUAUUUAAGAUGCAGAAAAUAAGGUAUUUAAGAUGCAGGAAAUAAGGUAUUUAAGAUGCAGGAAAUAAGGUAGUUAAGAUGCAGAAAAUAAGGAAACACCCCACAUCACUACAGUGCAUAACAAAUCUAUCACAUAAGCACAAAGAUAAAUACUGAGUGUAUUAGUUGAAACUUAGCAAAAACAAAAAGGACAUAAGCUUAUUCUCAAAAUUCAGAAUCUCAUGUCACAAACCCGAGCUUUGCUCAAGGGUUGACAGUCAUGCCUUUUAUGCAAGAUCUAAGAAGUUAUGAUGCUCGUUAUUGUAAUGAAAAACUUUUGAAAAAUUUUAAAAUUUGGGCAAAAUUUGAAAUCCCCCAAGUUUAGACUAAACAAGCGAGCUAUUAUCCACCCUUCGCUUAAAAAAUUUCUUGGAAGUAGCCCAACAUGAGAAGAUAAAACAAUCUGAAUGCAGACGAUCCUAUAAACAAUUAAAAAAAUAGCCACAACUGAUUGAAAUCAAGUUGGAUAAACAACCAUUGGAUGAAGGGAGGGCGUUGAGCUUGUCUAAGAAAAACAUACUCUUUGAGGGUUUAUGCCAGCAACAGCAACAUACAUAUCCAGCUUUCCUGUAGAUAUUCCUAUUCCCUGAACUCCAAGGUCACCGAGGCCAAGAAUACGACUUCCAUCUGUCAAGACAAUCAUGUCAACCUGUAGUUGGAAGAAGAAAAUACAAUGAACUUUAAAAAAUAUAUAUAUCUAUAAAGCAUAACAAUUAUCCCAUUGCUGAAAGAAAUAAUAUUUGUUAUGCUAUGUAUAUAAUUCACAAAUUAAUAGACCAUCAUCUCAAUGUACAAAUUGUGUGAAGCUAAGGUCUCUUAAACAACUUAAAGAGGAUUGAAGAAGAGUACCAGAAGUUUUUCAUUAGCCAUCAAUCCAGGAAAUAAAUGAAGCAUCAAACUUGUCUAAUAAACUGAUCUGGGUCGUCAAUAUGUAACACAAAUUACACAAAAAUCUAGGGAGGGGAUAUGAUUUAGAUACGUAAAAUACUUAGAGGUUUGAGAGAGAAUCAAAAUAACUUAUUGCAUUCACUAAAGAAAUACAUAUACAAGAUGUUCUUGUAAACUUAAUCCUCAAUUUAUCCAAGACCCAAUUAGAAUGGUUAAUCGAUUCAAUAGAUGUUCUUGUAAAAGAACCAAACUGGAAGUUUUCCAACAAAUAUGCGAGUGAUGAAACCAUAACAACAUAACUAUCCAAAAGUGAAGUUUCUACUCAUUUUUUAUGCGUUUUUUUCUGAUCUAUAUUGCAUAUAUAUAUAUAUAUAUUUUAGUUCCUAAUUGUCUCAUUGUUUUACAUUUUACAUUUGCAAGUCUCUCUUUUCUUUCUUUGGUACGUACAAUGUGGUAACUAGGUCUUCCUAGAUCCGGUGGGGUAACCUAUCUAUGGUUCUAGACUUAGUUUCUAAGUUUGACUUCUCCCUUCGGAGUGACAACAAGCCUCGUUUUCUCCUACUACUGUGGAUCGAGGAGGAUUCCUCCUCUUUUCAAAGUCCUCAAUCAAACUUGACGUUAUGUUUAAAACACUAAAAAUAGAUGGUCUAGUUUUGGUUAGGCCAAAAGCGAUGUUUUCCCCCAAAAGCUCUAAUAGCUAGGGAACUCAACAGGUUCUACUUGACCUAACCGACUUGACUCUAUAUUUUUUAUGAGCUUUUUUUAAUGCAUAUUGCAUAUGUUUUUUUUUUAUAAUUGUUGAUUGUCUCACUUUUUUAUGGUCUGCAUUUACGAGCCUCUUUUCUUUCUUUGUUAUGAACUGCGGUAACUAGGCGUUGCUAGAACCAAUGGGGUAACAUUUCUAUGGUUCUACAAUUAGUUUCUAAGUGUGAUUGCUCACCUCUAAUUUUCAAAACACUUAAUAUCUAAGCACAUACAAUGUUCACCUAGAAAAAAAUGAAAAUUGUUGUAGUUAAGAUCAAAACUAAAUAGUUAUGAAAUAAGACAUAAGAGAUUUGAUUUUAACAACCUUCCCGUUGUACUUGGGAUCCACUCUGGCUUUGUGCUGGAAAAUUGGUUUGGAGCUGAUUGUAAGCUUUCAGUUGCUCUUCUGUAACCUUUAGAUACUCUUCAAAGCUAUAAGCUUUGCUUCCUAACGAAGAAUCUUCUACUAUUACAGUACAUAAAAAAAUUAUAUUUCAUAAACCCUGUAUCAUAAUUGAGGCUGAUAGAAUGAUUAUUCUAUAACCCUACCGAUAGUUUCAUUCUUAACAUUCAUAGACACGAUGUAUGGUAGCUAUCCAAUUCUAUUUCAUGUUCUCGAGAAUGGCUCGGUUUAACAAUCAUGUUAAUUUUUUUUUCUAUUUUAAAAUAAUAACGAUGCUUACUAAUCUUUUUUUUUCCAUUUGGCAUUCUACUUUUUCUACUCAACUUUCUUUCCCUAGUGAUAACAAAUAAUACGAGUGAUAAAAAACUUAAUCACUCACUUGGUUCAGCCACCGAAAGCCCUUCUACUUUAGAAAUAGAAUAUGGGUUUGAGUAGGUAGAUUUACUUGCAUUGUAUGUGCUGUUCAUUGAACUCUCAAUUUCAUCGAGACCAAUUUCUCACUCAAACAUGGUCUUGCAUUCUCUAGAAACGUCCUACAAACAAAAAUGAAGAACAAAAAACUACAAUAAGGUCUAUGAAAAAGUUAUAAAGGAAAAUCUCAAAAACUGAUAUGUAAGUCAUAACAACCUUAAGUUCUCUAUCGUGGGUUAAAAUGCACGUAAGGUUUUUCCAAGACUCCGAGCAACCAGCAUGUAAAUAAGUUAAGUCAACUAAAUUUGCUAUAAAUUUACUCGUAUUAACAUUAUCAUUGUUAUAGACUUGACAACUUCAAAUUUAUCAAUAUAAAAUAUGCUUUAACAAAACGUACCUUGAGGUUCCUCCAACCUUAUUAAAAAAGCAAAUAAUCCAACAAUUUAACAAAUUUAUAGUGCAUAUUAUGUAUAUCAAUUGAUCACAACAAAAUAAGAUCGAACAAAUAUCCAUGAGUAAUAUUUAGCCACCAAAUGAAUAAUGAUGAAAACCUGAAAACAAAACCGAGAAAAAAAAGGAAACAAUUCAUCAACAAAACAAAUUUAGUGGACUAAAAAAUUGCUUACCUUAUUACACACUUCAAAAUAUUAAGAAAAGUGGAGGGAAAAAACCAACCAAUAAUCAACAAAUAAACUUCAACACAAAUAGCCAUAAAUUUUCUUCUUUAAAGGUAUCACAAAUAAGUCCAUCAGUAAUAACAAAAUAAAAAAGGGCAAUGUGCAAUUGAAUUCUGCAGUCGUAAAGCUAUGCUAAAGGCAGUAUGAAAUCAAACUUGAGCACUAACAAGAAAAUUUGCAAAACAAAAAUUACUAGACAUCAUUAACUAAAGUACCAGCACAACAAUGAAUGUGUAACCUCCGCAAGAGCAAACCCGAAUGGAGAAGAACAUGAAGAAAUAUAUAAAUAGAAAAAACAUAAAAGACAAACAUGAAACACAUGGAAAUAUACAAAGGGGAUAAAUAAAAGUACAAUUAUAAAGUGAUGAAGCACAAAUAUAGGUAUCAACAGAACCAGAAUACAAGUCUUACCCUAUCUCGACUGUCGAGGAGUGUUAACCAACCGUCGGAAGGUUGGUUUUAUUUUUUAGAAAAAAUUAAUGUUGUCUGAAUUGUUUUCCAAGCCACUAACCAGCCCCUCCUUAUCUAUGAUCGCGCGAUCAACUCCUCAACCUCUAAUUACAUUUAAAAGAGUGAUGCGAACAUUGUGUGAAAUCCCAAACCUUUGAUGGAUCCCACCAUCACUCUCUUUCUAUCCCCUUCAAAACCUCAUUAUUUUCAAGAGAGGCCUCAAAGCUUCUUCCAAUUAACAUAAAAGAAGAAUGAAAGAGAAGGAGAGAAAGGGAAAGUGGUUCAAAAGCUAUGGAAAAAAAAAAAAAGAAAAUGGUCUACUCAUUGGCACAUCUUACACAGAUGAUAAUGUUAGGGCAAGGCAAUGAGAGACAGAAUGCUUUUGGAGCCUUCUCCUCUACUUUCGAAGAUUUUAACAAACUAAAAUAUGCAAAUGUUACAAGAAAGAUCUUUGGAGAUUUGAAAUAAUCCAAAAUAAAGAAAAAGGAAAACCCCAAUAUGUACAAAUUUCAGAAUCUAAAACUUGAAAAGUGAUUGAAUGAUGAGAUAUGUUUGUACAAUCAAUUAUAGAGACAGUGAAAUAUUAAAAAAAAAUGAAACGUACCAAGAUAAAAAGAAUAGCAACUAGUAUUAUGACCUUUGUAUGUCUUCAAAAUACAAACAUCAAAAUGAAUCAAGAGAUCUACCACACAAAUAAUGGUAUCAACACAAAUAAAGCAAUUUUUUAGUAACAAUAUUUGAGUACAAUUAAACUAAGCAUGCUAUUGUCCUUGACAAAUUUACAUUCUUCUAAUCGAACAAAAUCUGACCUUUAAAUAGUGAUAGAAACUGAAGAUGAAAGCAAGUUUAGCUACAACUUCAGACCGUGAUAUAUAUGACGGAACCUAUAAAAAAAAGAAGAGUACCUAACUAUAUAUACACAGAGGAGAUCUGAUGCUUACUAGCACAUCAGAGGCUCAAUCGAUUUAUAUUUAAUUGAAAAACAAUCCCUAUAUUUUAAUGCAUACACAUUGAAUAGCCCCUGUUUCAAUCCAAUUUACAAAACUACCUCCAUAAAAUUACAUAAUGGGGGAAGUUCGACCGGAUGCACUGUGCUUUACCAGAACCACAUGAAAUUAUUGGAACAUAGUUCAUUCAAUUAACUUUCUAUUCAAUAAUUGAAACAAAUGGAAAGAGGUCAAUUGAAUAUUAAAUAAAGAUGGAAUUAAUUGGGAACUCACGGAGUAAUGCGAUUUGUUCGGGGGCUCACCACUGGAGUUGGAAGAGAGACAAGGAUUAGAAAGGAAAGGAAGAGGAGCGUCUGAUAAUCCAGCGGAUUCUUUGAUGAGUGGAGUACUAGUAGUAGUAGUGGAGGUUCCAAGGACAUUGAAGUCAAUCCGGUGAGAGUGAGGGAAUCCAGAAGGUUGAGGUUGAAGAGAGUAGAAAUUGCAACCAAAAUCGGUGACGAUGGUGGAAUCGAAAUUGCGAGGGAAGAAGAAAAGAGCAUCACAGGUCGAAGUAGAGGAGGAAUCAACACUGGAGAAAGGAGGAAGAUGAGGAGAACCUGCCAUUAAUGGAAGAGGGAGGAAGUGAGAGAGAAAGGAGAGGGAAUUAAUUAAUUAAAGAGAAUUAGGGUUUGAGAAGAGAAAGGGAAAAUGGAGUGUACGAACAAAGAAGAAGAAGAAGAAAUGGAAAGGACGCGCUAAGAGAAGAAGAUGGAGAUGGAUCGGUGAAAUGGGUAUGAUAGGGUUUCUUCCUUAAAGAAACGGAAAUUGAGAGAUAGGCCUUAGGGUUUUGAGAAGAGAAAGGAAAAAUGGAGUGUACGAAGAAAUGGAAAGGACGCACUAAGAGAAGAAGAUGGAGAUUGGAUCCCCGACUAAGAGAAGAAGAUGGAGAUUGGAUCCCCGACUAAGAGAAGAUGGAGAUGGAUCCGCGAAAUGGGUAUGAUAGGGUUUCUUCCUUACAGAAACGGAAAUUGAGAGAUAGGCCAAAGAAGACAAGAGAGCAAGAGAGAAGGGGGGAGGAGAGGGAGGAGAGGGAGACUUGGCCGUUAGAGAAGAGGAGAAAGAAAUUUGAAAUGAGAGAGACUGUACAUGUAGGGUUUUUAUUAGAUUUUUUUUUUGAAAUCUUGCUUAAUUGGAUUUAGAGAAUUUUGUGUAUUCGGUUCACCGAAUCUUAUUAGCUGUCCAUUGGUCCAUUGUUUUGUCAUUUUUUUUUUCAACAAACAAUCAUAUUUUUUUACAAUAUAGGACUAAAAAAGAUAACUAAUAUAUAUAUAUAUAUAUAUAUACACAUACAACAGUAUUUAGUUAAAUUACAAAAAAAAUCUUUUGAAUUUUGUAGUUUGUGUAAAAAAAUAACCUUAAACUUUGAAAAGUUAAAAACAAUUGUUUUCAACUUUUAAAAAUUAUUCAUAAAUACAUCUACAUACUUAGGAUGAAGGUAUUGGCAUGCUUCUCUAAAAAAUCUUUCCAAAAAGAUGUCGUGUGAUUUUUGAAAAGAAAAAUUACAAGCGGGGUCGUUUUUAAACAAAUUAGAUAUAUCAAGUUAUAUAUUCUUUUAGCAGAGUCUAUACUCUAUCUCUCUCUUUUUUUUUUUUUUUUUUUUUUUUUUUUUUUUUUUUUUUUGAGGUGAGGGAAUCAACCUUUCUUCUUUUUUUUAAUCCCUUCUACUUUUAGUUUAUUUCUUCAAUUUUUUUCCUUUUUUCACAUAUUAUCAAUCACAUCUUACAUUUUUCCUUUUUCUUUGGAACCUGCAAAAAUAACAAAAACAUUUAUAAUCACAUGACUCAUGUCACUACAUUUUCUAAAUUUUAAAAGUAGUAAAUUUAAAAGUUGAUAACCCUAUGAUUAUUGUCCGAUAGUCAUCUAAUAUCACUAAUUUUGUCAUAUUCGUAAUAUGCAAAAAAUAGGUGUCAUGAACUAUUUUUUCUAAAUGUUUUUUUUUUUUGUCAUUUGAUGCAAUUAGUCUUUUUCUUUUAAUGUUUUAAUUUCUUUAUAUUAUUUGUACUUCUCAACCAAAUUCAUUUUAAUUUUAAAAAUCCUAAUUUUAGAACUAGAGUAAGUUUCGAAUACAUCUUCAAAGGUUUAAUUUAAAAAUGAGUCAUUUUGACAAAGUUAGACUUAAACAUGCAAGCUAAGUAAGCUAUUCACCACCCCCCACUUAAAAGCUAAGCACAUAUUCAUCAAUUAUAUCACAAAUAUAUCCACAAACCUGAACUCAAUGAUUACGGAGGAGCAUACUUUUGCCAACAAGAUGUCGCGAUCCACGAGAUAGGAUCCAUUCAACAAAUUUUGGGCAUCUGAAUUGGAAACAGAUGAGUCCGUUCUCAAGAAUUGUAAUUGUUGGCAUUUCAAUUUUAUUAACAAUAACAACGAGCUAAACAAAAUCCUCUAUCCAGGACGCACUGAUGAAAACUAAAAUGUAAAAUAAGUACGAAGUAAUUAAUUAAAACAGAAGACAAAAGAAACCCAAAGUAAGUUGACAAAAUGUCCACAAUAAGCUUCAAGAUGAGUGAGAGGGAACACCAAGAGAAACAUGAAUAGCCUUGCUAACUUUUCACUACUAGCCAACUACAUAUUUUUUUACAAUACGUGUUAGGGAAAUCUUUCCCUUUGCAAAACAGACCAAUAUAUAAUCAAUCAUUGGCUCUUUAUGGGAAAAUAUAGAAGCCCUAUACAUGUCUGUUUCAAGCCUGUGUUGAACAACUUUUAAUCCCCUAAGAUAAGGAGAUUUAUCUGAAGGUUCGAGAAUAAUGACAUGUCCUAAACUAACCCACCAUUUCGCAACAGUGAACCAGUUUGAUCGUUAGGGGACAACUUUUGAUAAUAAGCGCACAACCAUGCCUCAACUUCAAUGUUGCCCAAAAGUAAAGUCUUUUCUUCACAAUGCUCCAUAAAAAAAGUUCGACUUUCACAUAAAGAUCUGAUUUCUUUUUUAUUGCUCCAAGAGAUCUAAUAGAUCUAUUUUCACCACGCAAAUCCUUUUUCUUAUCAUGGAAAAUGUGUUGGUUGUGCUCAAACCAAAUCUCUGCUAGCAACACUUUUAUCAAAUUAACCCAUAUUUUUUUUUUAAAAAAAAAAGAGGAUAUGAGUCUCACUAUUAUUAAUAUUGAAAAAUGAAGAGACAAAGCUCAAUGCCAUGAGGAUUAUACAAAGAGCAAUAUGAUGGAGGAUCAACAGACGCACCUGGACAUCUCAACUAGGUUGACACCCCUUAGCGCCCUCAUCACAUCCAAAAAGCGACAACACAAGAUCAAAACCAAAAGCCACAAAUAGAAGGCUUUUUUGUGUUUGUUUUGCCUUUGGACAUUACUCUCUUUGUUAUGGGUUUUAGCUUGGUUGGAUAUGAUGAGGGUGCUAUGGGGGUGUCAACCUAGUUGAGAUGCCAAGGUGCACCCCCUGAUCCAUGGUUACAUGUUCAUUGUAUAACUCUCUUGUACUAUGAGCUUUUGUCUAAUUAUUAUUAAUAUUUUAAUAUUAAUAAAGAGGUUGUCUCCUUUUCAAAAAAAAAAAAAUAAAAAUAAAACAAAACAAAAGCCACAAAUAUAAAACCAAACAAAAUGAUAAAAUAAUAUGUCCAAAACAAAAUCAUAUAUCAUAGGUAGCAGGUCGAGAACAAAGAAGAAUAAGCCUUGAUUGAGAAAAAAAUCCCAACAAAUAUUGAAUGUUUGGAGAAGACGGAACCAAUAUUUCGAUACAAAGAUAGGCAAUAAAAAGGUGCUAAAUAUUUUUCAUGUUAUCAACACAAAUGGGGCAGACAUGAGGUGAGAGGACAUGGGAGGGAAGUUUUCUUUGAAGUACUAAAGCACAGUUUAAUUUUCCAAACAACAUAAUCCAUAUGGGCAUAUUUAUCCAAAGAGUGAGCCAAAUAGCCCAAUGAGUGAUGGUUUUAUAAAACAUCAUUUUGAAACAAUAAGUAUUUAACAAUUAACUCUUAACAUAAAUGAAAUCAAACUCAAACAACUUAUCUCAAACUUUCCCUUUCAGUUGCUAUACCUAGAAUCGUCGAGAUGAAAAACAAUAAACUAGGCAUAGAAGCCUAUCCCGUGAUACGAUACUUACGAGAUGAAACUCUAGGCAUCAAUUGUGCCCUAUCUCGUUAUAACUACAAUGAGAUGGAAAACUAGGCAUUCGUACAGGCUCUCGUUCCUUGAGAUAGGAAACUAAGCAUCUUUAGAAGUCUUCAACUCUUAUCUAGUACCAAUGAUGGAAAGCUAGGUAUUUACCGAAUAUCCAAAUCAAAUGACCUCUAUGCACAAGAAAAUCUCUCCCGAAGGGUUGCUAUAUAUCUUAGAAUAUUUUAGGUAUAGACUAAAACAUGCUAAUAUUAUUUUCAAGCUUAAACAUUUUGAAAACUUAGCACAAUCAUGAUUGCUUAUAAUUUUCAUUAGUAAAUUCAUCAAUAAAAAACAUGUUUACCAAAAUGUUUCUAAAUUCAUGCUUUGGAAAUAGUUUAUAAGUCAGUAUCCUCAAAUAUUCAAACAUAAAAGCAUGCUUGAAACAUUUGAUAAUAAAUUUAUGUUUAGAAAUCAAUUUUAAACUCAUUUUUGUCACUUAUAGAGAGUAGCUUAGACCCUUGGCUUAUAAACUUGUUCGAUCUCCUUCAGAUCUAAAAUAAUGAAAAAUAAUGGGAAAUAAUUCCAUUUAAUUCUCAUUGAUUAUAAAAAUAUCAAAACUUUGCUUAAAAUUUCCAAAAACCACAAAAACAGCCCAAAGACAUUAGCUUGCGUACAAAAUAUUGUGGCAGGAGUUGGCAUGCGCGCGUAGGGCUUGCCUUGCCAUGUCUCGUGCUAACCUCAUGUGCAGUGUGUCACAAUUACAACUUUUCAAACACGAAACAGACUAUUGUGCGGCACUUGUUGUAACUCGAUGAACACGUCAGUUGUAUGAAGUUCGAUACAUGAUGUAGCCUCCCUACAGGUUUUAAGAGAAAUUGGUUUUAUUACACAUGAGAGAAAAAGGAAAGCAUUGGAAACAUCGUUAAAAAAAACUUUGAAGACUGUCCAUUGCAAAGACAACUUAAAUUGCAAAGAGUACCUCUGUGAUGAGAUUGGUUUGUGGAACCAAUUGGGAUGGGAAAAAGUUUAGAGAUAUUUGAGAGAGAAACUUUUUUCUUUUUGCAAAGAGCAAUAGUGUUAGCCUUAUUUUUCUUUUUUUAUUAAUUCAUUUUUUUAAGAAAAUUGUUUUCUUCUAGAUAUUAUAACUCUCUUUCCUUCUUGGAAUAGAAAAUGAAGUAGAAGAGAACCAUGAGAUUCUAUUAAUUUACAAAUAAUUAAAUUAAAAUAUAUUUCAAAUCUACUAAUUAAUUAAGCAUUAAUCAAUUAGUUAAUAAUUAAUGAAAUCAAAUUUAAUUAAAUAAUAUUAAACUAAACUAUUAAUUAAUUCUCCAAUUAAUUAAUAACACUAAAUUAUUUAUCUUAUAUUUAACUUAAAUUAAAUUUGAAUCAUAUUCAAAUAUAAGUUUCUCUCAAUAAUUUUAAUAUGAAUCCAAUUCACAUUAAAUUAAUAUUUGAACUCAUUCAAAUAUUUUAUCUCUCAUAAAUUAAUUUUGAAUCAUCCCCAAAGUUAAAUUUAUAUAGUAAAGUUUGAUAAACUUUAUAUUAUAAUGUAUUACUAUACAUUAUACUAAUUCCCAAGUUAAAUUUAAAUAUUUUAAAUUACAACCAAUAUAAAUAAAUCUCAUUACCCUUUACGAGCUAGGAAGGGACCUAAUGGACCUACAGAUCAAAAGCUACAACGAUCUAAGAUUAAUUGACUAAACUCAUUAACCACCUUAAUCAAUAUUCAUUAGCUGUGUGUACACUCCACUAAAGACUCACAACUGAACUCUUCUCACUAUAAAUAUAUUUAUGUGUCCACGGAUAUAGACCAAUAAUAGUAAGUUAGUCCUUCACGAGUGUUUGUAACACCAGUUGGAUCAAUUUACCGCUUUACCCCUAUGUUACCUCUAAUCCUUAAAAACCAGUGCUCCUCUAAUGAACAACUUAUUUAUGAUCCUACUAGUAAACAGAAACCCCUCUCAUGUCAUAGAGAGGGUAAGGGCCCUUUGUUCAAGUUUUAGAGACACCAUUUAAGCUAACAUUCAUCUACUUACCCUAAAGUAGGAAAUGAGUGAAUUCCAUUUUGUGCAAUUAUAAUCCCAAAAACGUCAAGAAAUAUGUGAUUUCAAAUAAAAAAACGUUAAAUUUUUUUUAUGAAAGGCCAAUUUUCAACUUUUUGACGUUUAUUAAAUGUCAAGUAAGAUGUAUUUUUUCUUGACGUUUUUUAAACAUCAAGAAAUAUCUAAUAAUUUUUUGACGUUUAAAAAACGUCAAGAAUGUUUAUGAAUUCAACAUUCUUGACGUUUUUUAAACGUCAAUAAUAUAUAGUUUUCCUCGACGUUUUAAAAACGUCAAGUAAUUUUUAAAAAAUUCUUAACGUUUUUAAAAUGUCGAGAUAAUUCUAAAAAGUUAUUGACAUUUUUAAAAACGUCAAGAAAUUUAUAAAAAAUUCUUGACGUUUUUAAAACGUCAAGAUAAUUCUAAAAAAUCGUUGACGUUUUUAAAAACGUCAAGAAAUUUCUAAUUUGUUUUUGACGUUUUAAAAAUGUCAAGAAAUUUCUAAAAAAUUAUUGUGUUAAUAUUCUUUUACAAAACGCAACAUUUCACUUAGAUCACUUCCCCUUUUCUUAAUUAAACCUAAUUCGCCGCGACUUUGUCCCUUCAACACCAAAAAUCAAAAUCGUCGUUCACCUAACCUUCCCUUCGUGUUCAUCUGUGUAUUCAUCUGCGUUCAUCACCGAAAAAGACUUCCCUUCGCGUUCAUCAACGUUCACCUUUAUUCAUUUGCAUUCACCGUCUGUCACCGUUCGUCUGCUUUGCGUUCCCUUCGCCUUCGUUGAUCUGCGUUCGUCUGUUCACCGUUUGAAAUGCGUAAACACGUUCUCUGUUCGAAAACGAGUUAACACGUUCACCAUCCUUCUGUCGCAUUACACUUUCGCUAAACCUCUAUUUGUUUCCAAAUCCUUCAUGGUUAUUCAUUUUCUUCCCUUUCUAAAGGUAAUAAUUUUCCUUUUUUCCUUUGUGAUUAAAAUUUGUAAUUUGUAAUUUAAAAUUGGAAUGCAAAAUUAAAGAAGAGGAAAUAUGCCUUAGAGAAUGGAAGAAAGGUUUUGCAUUUUAGGCUUGAAAAGGGGGAUACAAGUUAUUAUAAUUGUAAUAUAUAAUAUUUUGAACAAGGCUACCAAGCGUGCGAAUAUGAUUCAUUGGUUAGUUUAGGGAUUGGAAAGAGAAGGAUUGUGGAGUUUGUGAUAAUAUUUUGGUACACGGCAGCUGGAAACAGAGAAUAUUAAAAAACACAUACUGUUAUACACAGUCUGAUAAUAAUACGAAUCACUAGCUUUUCUUCUUCUUCUUUUUCUUCUCCUUGAAUUUUUGUUAUGGGUUUUGUAUUGAGUUUUGUGUUUUAGAUUGUGAAGUAUGGGGUAGCUAAACUCUUAAUCCUAGGGAUAGAUGUAGACAAAGUUUAUGAAUUACUCUUUGUAAUGCAUCUGAUUAUUUGCUCUUAAUCUUUUCAUGUUUUUAUGUGAAUAACGUUUAUAAUAUCUUGAUCACAGAUUAAUUGUUGAUUGGCCAUGAACCUUAAUCUUUGCAUGACUAGAGUAGUUAUGAACAUGGAAAGAGAUAAUUAAGGAUCUCUAAGGAGGUUGUUGAAAGAAGUGGACCUAAAAAUUUUUGUUUGUUAAUAAAAAGAAAAAUGAACAGAGAUUCAUCUUCGUCAGGGGUCUUGAUGUUUAAUUUAAUUUAAAUUGUGUAUGAAUUUUUAAUUACGAGAAUUUUAAUAUGUUGCAAGAGCACUAUAGCCAAGGUAUAGAGUGAGGGAGAUAAGGUUUAUAUGUCUUAGAGAAUGGAAAGAUGGAAUUUGUGCUAAAAUCAUUAGUGUUCCAAAUACAAUUAUGAAUUAGGUAUAGUUGCAUUCCCCCUUCUGGAUUGCAUAGCACAUAAAUAUACGCAUACUGAAAAACAAUAACAUAAAACACAAACUUGAUUUAGUUUCAUUCACACUUGUACACCAACAUGUUUCAAGUAAUGAUCAUAUAUUAAAAAUCAUUUUCAAAUUUGGUAAUAUAAAAUGGAAGAAGUGAGACCUUGAGGUUUUGACCACCAAUACUAUCUAACUGAUGAGUUUAUGAUUUUUGUUUCUACUGUGUUCUUUCCUUAAGCUUUAACUUGUUUUAGGGGCAAGAUGGUGAAGGUCUAGUCCACAACCUUUCCCAAGAAUUUAAUGAUGUUUGGGUUGGCCCAAUUAUUGUUAUUGGACACCGUUUUAUGGUAAUUGGUUGUUAUGGUUUUUAAGUGGGGUUUUGAUAUCUUGUGUUAAAAAAUAAUUGCAAAAAGUCGAAAAAAUUUGUUAAAGAUUAGGUGUUUUUAAGUUUGUCAUUCCACUUUAAUUCUCACCAGUACUUGCUGAAUGGAAGCCUCUUGUCUAAGACAAUUCGAGUGGAAUAACUCUCGUGACUACCACAACAUUUGGGAACUCACCAAAUGUAAGACUAUUCCUUUAUCCUAGCAUUUGAUCUCUCUCUAUAAUUUGGUUUGCUAUCGUAAGUUUGAUUAAAAUAAAUGCUGAUAAUUCAACUCCAAUGUUCUUAUUUUCUUAACUCCCAUUCAGUCAGUUAGAAUCAUAACUCAUUUAUUUAUCUUGUCUCCAUAAUUUGGAUUCAAAGAUUCAUCACAACAAUCUUCUCAACAACAUUCUUGAAAAGGUAUUGAAUUUUCAACUGUGUGACCUUUAUACACAAAUUUCUUCAAAGAAAUUUACAUUCUUUAGAGUUUAGAGCUUUGAAUUCUAGUACAACUUAUAAAGCUUUUGAUACUUGUUAGACUUUUUUGCUUGGUGCGGAUAAAACCUUAUUUACAUUCUUUCUUUCCUGCAUGUUCUCUUUUGAUAUUUGUUAGACUUUUUUGCUUGGUUGUCCUUAGUGUUUUCCUCUUUAGCUGAAAUUUCUCUAUCUUGAAAAAAAUAGAGCUUUAAAAUUCAACUUUAACUUUAUUUGAUACUAUCUUAGUCCAUACUUAUUUUGGUAUUUCUUUCAUUUCUCACAAACACAUCUAAGAGGUUGCCUUCACAAUAUGGCCAAAUUAACAAUAUGGCAACCUUUUUCAUUGCAAAACAUAUUAGAGGUUGGUUACUUAGUUAGCCUUAUUGGGUAAAUAAUUGACAUUUAGGUACUUUUUAGUUUGUAUAUUUAUAGAUGCCAAAUCGAUAUGUGAAUUUUAAUUGUUGCUUAUUUGAAACAUUGCAACCAUUUGAUAAAAUGUUGCUAUGUGAAUCCAUCUUAACUUGAUAUAUUAUUUUAUUUUGGUUUAGGUUGUGGAAUCCAAGUUUGUAUUUGAAGUCAAAUUCAUCCAAGAUCAUUGAGUUUCAAAGCUUCUUUAAUUAAGAUUUUGUUUCUUGAACUAGAAUUGUAGUCUUGUGAUUUUUGGAAUAGCAUAGUUGGAUUGGUUUUGUAAUUUUGGGAUUAUCAUAUUAGGUUGGGGUUGACUGAAGUAGUGUUUUGUAUAUGACAAUAUCGAACAAACAUGUAAAGUUUUCGAAAUGUUCAUACAUAUAUGAUUAAAUGUUAAUAUAUGUUAAAGUUUUGGAAUUGUACUCGUGCAUAUUUAUGAGAUUGUUGGGCCACACUACAGGAAUUAUAGAGACAAUACAGGAACAAAAAUAUAAAUAAAUUAUAAUUUAGAAAAAAAAUGAAACAAGCUUGACGUUUUUUAAAUGUCAUAAACAAAUACAUUCUUGACGGUUUUUCAAUGUCAUUAACAAGUAAAUUCUUGACGUUUUUUAAACGUCAUAAACAAUUGUGUUCUUGACCGUUUUUAAAUGUCAUAAAUUACAUUCUUGAUAGUUUUUAAAUGUCAUGAAUACUCAUUCACUUGACGAUUUUUAACUGUCAUGAAUAUUUGUAUACUUGACGUUUAUAAACUGUUAAGAAUCGCUAUUCUUGACGUUUUAUUAACCGUCAAGAACUUUGACUUUCUUGACGCUGGCUUCAAUGACGGUUUUAAAACCGUCAAGAAUAGUGAUUCUUGACAGUUUAAAAACGUCAAGAGAGUCUGUUUUUGUAGUAGUGAAUGAUAAGCUUAUUGAGUCGGCGAUCUAGCCACUCUCACUCGUACAAAUCAAAGGACAAUCUCUCGCGAACAAGAGUUCAUAAUACACUCAAGAUUAAGACUAAGUUAUAUAGGUCAUCCUAGUGAAAUAGAAACCUAACUAGUUAACGUAGUAACACCAAGUGGUUACUAUUUCACGGUAUGGUCUAUUGCAAUCUCAUUGCAUAGGAUACUUUCACUCGCAUGACAACUACACGAACGCAUUGGAUCAUUGUAUUUGUAUCAAAUACAAAGUGAGUCGUAUUCAUAAUGUUACCAGGAAAAAGGUACCUAGUCUUAUCCCUAUACUAUAGACCCUUUAAGCUAAUCUCGAACAUUGAUCCAUGUAUGUCUCUACAUACUAUUCAAUACUUAUUAAACAGUUUAGGAUGUUAGUUUAUUGGAUUUGAGUUAUUAAGACAAAACUAAUAAUAUAAUCAAUAACAAUUAUUACAAUAAUAACACUUUAUUAACAAUGGUUAAUGGAUUAUAUUUACAAUCUACGAGUUUUAGGACAUAAAUUCCAACAAACUCCCACUUGGACUAAAACUCUAGUCUCUUUGGGAUGUUCAUAAUAAAGUAAUCCUAGCUCUAACAUUGAAAAUGGUAAAAUGUACAAGUGUAUUACAUAAAAUAUAUAUAUACAAAUACAAUAAACUAGGGCAUCCUCAUACCCAUUACACAUCUGCCACUUUUCCUAGAUUACCUAAUGUACAUAACUCGCAGAUCUAGACUUUCUAGAAGACCCUCGAACACUUUAGCCAUGAGAGUCUUUGUAAAUGGAUUAGUAAUAUGCCCCACUAUUAUCACAAUAUAAAGUGAUGGGGCAUGUUCAUGUUUGGAACAACUUCCAAAUUAUGCAAGAACUUCCUCAGCAAAACUGCUUCUUUUGCUGCUUCACAAGUAGCAAUAUACUCAACUUUCAUAAUAGAGUGUGUAAUGACGCGUGGCUCAGGCUGCUUGAUCAUGCCAGGACAUGCUUCUUGCAUGUCCCAAGCCUAAAUAACCUCUUUCGCUCAAAACACACGCUCAUCUCACCUUGUCAUCCUGGCAAUCAACCCACCCUUGGCCUUGCCUAGAAAUAUGAUUUUUCUACCAGAAACUUAACUCGACUUUGAAGCUUAAAUCAAUAAGCUUCCUUCUACAAACUUACUUAGAAUGUCAUCACUAGCUUACCACAAAGUGUCACUAACAAAAUCCAAGUAUUGAGUUCUGUAGCUCCAAAAUACUCUACAUUGUUAAAUUUUUUUUUUCUUUUGAAAAUGACCUUUGAGUCUUUCUUCACUUCAAUUCCUUUAUUCCUGGCAGCCUUUCUUCUGAUACUAGACUCAAUUUAGGAGAUUUUUGAAGUAGAGUUACCCAAUUAACACAAGUUGCUUGUUAACAUAAUUCGUCCAAAGUUGUACAUAUAGUGAUCCUUGCAUGCUCUUUGGUUGACACUUUUAUUCUCACCUCUUACGCCCAUACUUGCCACUUUCCACCUCAUGCAAGACACUUAUUUGGCAAAACUUAGGUAUCUUGUAUGUUGUCCACUUGUACUCUACCGCACAUCUUACCUCAUAUUGCUUAAGUCAUCCUUGGAUGCAUAUCCCUUUUUCUAUGAGGGUUCUUUAGUAAAUUCUUACUGCCAAGAAUGCCUAAGACUUUUUUUUCUCGCCUAAUCUCCCAAACAUCCCUCAAUGCCUUCAACAAACCAUGCCAUCUUGACUAGCAUUUGGUUGAAUUGCCCCAUUGGCCGCAUGGCCUAUGUCCACAUAGCCCACCUCUUUGUUGCAUGACAUUCCUUAUCCACGUUCUAACUUCUUUAGAGUUUCUUGACAUUUCCUAGAUGCUUAGCUUCCUUGCCUAGCGCAUACCCUUGGUCAUAUAGCCUUGUCUUAUAGAGGUUGUCUUGACACCUUUCGGCCAUACCACAUCUCAACCUUUGGCCACCCAACAUGUCUCUUUAGAGGUUCGCUUGACACUUUUGGCCGCCUAGAGUAUGCAACAUGCCCUAGACAACACUUAGCCAAUUUUCGAACACCCUUUAUGCCUUUCUUUGUUACGAUGACACUUUUCUUUUGUCAUCUUAAAAAUAUUAACACAUCUUUCAUAACACUUCAACUAAACUAUCCAAUCUUAAACCAUCUUUCUCCUAACAUCAACCCCUAAUGUCCUAUUGAGUUCUUUAGAUGAAUUAAGGAUUAUUAGGUAUCGGGGUUUACACGCGAGAUGUAAGUCUUCCUCCUUGGAAUUACGUAUAGUAGUGUGCGGAGGGAGAGGAAUGUGAUGCAGGUCUUCCUCCUCAACCCUAAGGAAUUCUUCUUCGCUAACAAUGCCCUUUUGAUCGGGUAAGGGCUUGUUCGGUCAGGUCGUGAGGUGAAGGAUGUUGUUAUAAUGAUGGGGGAUUUGGUGGUGAGAGGAUAAUAGACAUGCGAGAAGACUUGGGUAAGAUUGAUGAGGGGGAGUUUCAAUUUUUGGAUGAGGACUGGAAUUGAAGGAUUUGGAUUUUGGAGGAGGCGAUGAGAGAGUUAGGGGUCGGAUUGCAAGAGGUUUAGGGUCGAUGGCCACGUCUAGCUUUCGUCUUUUUUCCUUUUUAUACGAGUUAGACGCGUCAUCGUGGACCUUUCUCCUCUUUAGCAGUGGUGGCAACGGAGAAGCCUCUUCUUCUUCUCUGCCAUUCCAUUCUUCUCCCUUAACUUUAUUAAAGGUUUUGAGGUGUCUCUCUUCUUCUUUAUUUUGAUGGAGUGUUAUGGUUUGGUUGAGAUUCGCCUGAGAACAUGCAUAAGGGGUGAUUGCAGAAAAGCUAAAAGCUUAGGAACCGUCGGAGGAAGGGCAGAUCAUUAAUUGUAUGUUACGCCUUCCUCUGACGUGGUGGCAGCAACGUUGAGAAUAGAUUUAGGGAUUCCCGACGUAUCAUUAAUUGCGUGGGAAUAUGUUUAGGGAUUUCUGACGUUUAACAAAUCAGGUCAAGAAUAGGGUGCUAUUCCCGACGUUUUCGUUGUGCGUCAGGAGUUCUCUGUCUUUUUUAACUCCAUUCUUUACAUAAAUGAAACAUAAAGAGAAAGAAAAUGAGAGAGGGAGAGGGAGACCGAGAGGAAGAUUAAGAAGAAGAGGGCAUUGUCAUCUCCAUUGCCGUCCCUUUGUUGUCGUCGCCGCCAUCGGUAAGUGGUUUAGUUUAGUUAUUUGUUUAGUUUUAGUAUUUAGAUUUCAAAUUUGUUUUAGGUGUUAGAUUUUAGAUUUCAAAUUAGUUUUAGUAUUUAGAUUUUGAAUUAGUUGUAAGUUUUAGUAUUGAAAUUUAAUUUCAAGUGUUGUUAGAAUUUUGAAUUAGUUGUAGGUUUUAGAAAUUUAAAUUUGAAGUGUUGAAGUUAAGAUUGAAGUGUUGAAGUUGAGGUUGAAGUGUUGAAGUUGAGUUUGAAUUUAAAGUUUUCAAUUUGAAUUUAGGAAUUAAUUGAAGUUUUUUUUUAUAAAAAAAUAGAGGAUCUCCCGACGCAUGGUUCCUAGACAUCUCUCGAUGCUAUAUUGACAACAUCUUCGACGUUCAUACAACGUCAGAAGAUGUCUAGAAACUCUCGACGCACAACAUUGUGCAUCGGGAGUUCCUCUCCCGAUACAUUUUUCCUGACUUGUGUUCCAACGUAUAUUUAGUAUGUCAGAAAAGCCUUUUCUGAUGCUUUUUAUAUAUCUCCCAAUGAUUUUAUGCAUCGAGAGAGCCCUCAUUUCUUGUAGUGUUAGACAAAGAGCUUCAAUGUGGUAGAGGGGAAAGGCAUGACACCUUUAGGUGCUUUCAUCAAAGGGAGGAUUGAGGUUCUGAUUAUGGCGCUAAGGUUAACUGCCAUCUUCUUCUUAAUGCAAUAAAUCAUCAUUGUGCACUCUAGUGGGAUGGUGUUGUUGUCAACCAGGCAGGCGGUUUCGUUUUCAAGUCUUAGUUCUUAAUCCUUAACAACCUUUGAGUAUUGAUGCUCUACCCCAACCCUCAUCUAAAACGAUAACUAACACAAUGGUUUGGAAGUUUUUGUGAAACAUCAUCUAUACUUUUUCUUUAAUGGUCGAUGAAAAAAAAGUCAGGAAAAUGGUAUUUCUGACCAUUUUAAGUGUUACCAAAAUAUCACAUUUGGUGUAGUAUGGUAUUGUUUUGAAUAUUUUUGUAAAAUAGUGGAUCAAGAAGUUUUACUAAGAUAAAGUUUCAUGUUGGACAAGAGGAUAGUGGAUGGGAAUUAAGUUGAAUGGUCCACUUUUUUUUUAAAUCCUUUAAGGUUUUAUGAAAACCUUUCACAAUACCUUUUCAUAAUCAUUUUGUAAAAAUAAUAUCAAAUCAUUUAAAUAUACCGAAAAAUUAUUUCAUUUCGAAUAAACCUUUCUUUAUGCUUAAAAAAUCAUUUCAUUUUGUCAAGGAUCCCGAAUCAUUCUCUACGCUUGGUGUCAUUACCUCGCGUUUAGACUACUGUAUCAACAGCAUCUGAGAACAUACAAAUUCGUCUUUGUUGCUCAUACCGCUAAGCUUUAUACGCUCAUUUCAAUGCAUAAGUCAGCUUCUUAUUACCAUGUAGUUCGUACACUCCAUAGUUGCCUUCACUCUUUAUGUGCACACAAAAGUUAGCAUCAUCUCAAAGAAACAUAAUAUUGAAAUCAUAGUCAUCAAAUCAAGCUUUAACAUUAUAAAUAAUGCUUGAACACAUAACUUUUCAUAGAAAUCUUUCUGAAACAUUCUCAUCUGAAUUCUUCUUUCAAAUCAGUAAAGAGAAAUCGUAAUAAAGUUUCUUAACAUAAAUUCUUUUGACUGAAAAGCACUCACCAAACUUUACUAAAGAAGUCCUUCUCACAACCAUCUUUUCGCGUGGCUAAACCAACAACACUUUAACAUUUCAACAAAACUCUCGUCAUCCCCUCCUUAGUUACCUAAAUUCUCCUAUUUUAUAGAUCCCUUAUACUAACUUAGUCAUGCAAAUCCUUAAUAUUUAACCUAGUCAUGCUCAAAUCCUUAAUCUUACAUGUUAACCCAUGUCAAAUCAGAUUUGACAUUUUCUUUACAAACCUUGCUCCCCGCCUAACCCAAACCGUGAAUAAAUUCAACCACUUAACAUUUCUCGUGAAUAACCUUAUCGCUUGAUUAUAUUUUUAUUAUAAGAAACGUUCCACGUGAACUAACCAACUUUUACUCGCAUAGAACUCUUAUCGUGAACUAAAACUCCAAGGCUUUCCUCGUAGACUUCUUUCUCCACGAAACACUUGGUUCUUCUCGCGAAGACCACCCAAAACUCCUAGUCUAACACUCAAAACUUUCAUUUCCUAACUUACGCAAAGACUUUUUCGCUUCUUAUCGCACAACUUCUUUCGCGAACUACCCACUUAUCGCAAAAAAGUAUACUUAACCGUAAAAGAUCUUAUCACUUAAUCUUUCCAUGGAUUUAUUUGAACACCAACUUCUUAAUUCUUAGCCGAAUUUUACUUCCUUACUCGAAUUAGAAAUGGGUCGCACAACUUCCUUCGCGAACUACCCACUGAAUCGCAAUAACGUAUACUUAACCAUAAAAUUUUUUAUCGCUUAAUCCUUUUCGUGGAUUUAUUUAAACGCCAAAUUCUUAAUACCUAGCCAAAUUUUACUUCAUUACUCAAAUUAGAAAUGGGUCUCACAUUUGGAGUGUAACGACCCAACUUUUCUAAGUAAGUCGAAGUCAUUAAUUUCAAAUAAAGACUUGAGUUUACACAAAAUCUCAAUCUCAAACAAUUUCAAAGUCUCAAGAAAACAAAAAAUUUAUAUCUGGGCCCUAUUUAAAAUAACCAACACUUUCAAGAAAAAUUUACUAAUUCGUGAAUACAGUUCAACUAUAAAAUCUUCUAAACAAUCUCAAGUACUAAAACAAAACACGUGAAACAAAACAUUUAGCGAAAGCAAUUUAAAAUAACCCCUAUGGCAAUCACGCUUCCUUCCUGCCCCUCGCCGGUUUGCCGUCUUUAUUACCUUUGCCUGAAAAUUAAACAUAAGGAGGGUGAGUAUAAAAAUACCCAGUAAGAGACCCUCUACUGGUCCCAUCAGGGGAAAAAUAAAUUGUUAACAUUCUAUUGGGACACCCUGUACAGUCGCAGUCUUGUGAUCCCGUAGGAUGCACAUUUCAGUCUAACGUUCCAAGGGACGUACAUUUCAGUCUAGUGUUCUGCAGAGACACAUAUCAGUCUAAUGCUCCCGAAGGUGCAGAAUAAUUGGUGAUCCCGUUGGACACCUACAAGACACACAUCCCAAUAAAAGCUAACAAUUUUUCCCCUCAGUCCAUUCUAAACAUCUUAACAGUCAUUCAUAGAUAAGUUAAACAUUCUCAUCACGUAAACUCCUUAUUUAACAGCAUAUCAUUACAUCAGUUAACAAGCUAAACAAUCAUAACCUCCUCCUUAGUCACCAAAGGCACAACCAUGACGUUUCUUCCGUUCACAAGCACACAACAUAACAGUAGAUAUUAUACAUUCAGUCUAGACAACAAUCAAUCUACUAAUCAAAUCCACACUUUAUAUAAGCAACAUCUACGAGAUUCAGUUUUUCCACAUCCUUAUCUUUGUACACAUACAUAACCAGACAGUCACAACAUAUACUCAACCACAGUCCACAUCAACCCAUGCACAUAUAUGUAUUAAUUUCUCCCAGUCAAACAUAGCAAACAUUAAACUUUAAGUCAAUGUCCAAACAUACAUCAUAACAGUCGUCUCUACUCAGUUCAAAUAUAAUAAUACGGUCCAUACAGUCAAUACAUCUUAAUUAGUCAUUAUAUCUUAAUUUUGUUGUUGAGUCGAGUAGAAAAUCGCUUACUUUCAAGUUAGUUAAGCUCCUUAACCACGUUGAAGUCUACGAAGAACGAACCUAAACAUUAAGACAAUUUCUCAAUAAUUCUCUUCAACGCAUCAAUCAUUUAAAUUCAACCCAAUGUGAUUUUUUUUUUACAACUUACCCAAGGAAUUCGAGCGUAACCUAUAAUCGAACAGUAAACGAUUUAUCCAACCAAUUAAUCCAGCAAUAUUACUUGAGUUUAUUUGAGGAAUUAUCAAAAAUAGGAUAAUUUGGAAGGAUCUAAAAGAGUUUUGAGAUGAAUUUUAAAAAAGAUGACUUUUAGGACAAAUUAGUUGGAAAAAGUCUAUAUUACCCUCAAGUUAAAAAAUAUCCUAAAAUCAAUUUAUGAAUCCUCUCUUCUCAUUCUCCCUCCGUUUUUUCACUUUCUAAAAAUGUUUCAUUUUUCUCUCAUCCCUCCCUCUGGUGUUCCAUUUUCCCUUAUUUUCACGAAAUUUCCUUUUUCUUCCUUUUCCAUUCUUUAAUUCGUUUUCUUGAAAUUUCUUUCUCAAGCUCUUCCCAUGGUCUCCCACCGGCCUUUGAAAACCAUUUUCUCCAUUUUCUCACUUCCAAAAAGAAUAUUUCAUUUUUCUCUCAUCUCUCUCCAUUUUCAUACAUUGUGGGAUAAAUUGGCCUUCCUAAUUCUAAGAGCAUGAGAAUGUUGCUCUCACCUGCAUUGUUGUACAUUAUAUAAAAGUUCUGCACACUUUACAAUUUUCCAAGAUAAUGAAAUAAAAAUUGCAUACCAAAAAACAAAAAUGGUAUUCAUUCCAUUAUAUAAAACUAUUUAUGUACAUAGUUUGGAACAUAUACAAUUCCUUCAAAAGUUGGAACUAAAAGUCAAUAAUUGGAUUGUUGGUCCAUAAUUGGAUUGUUGGUCCAUAAUUCCUACAAUUUUCAUACAUGGGAUUGUUGGUCCAUAAUUGAAAUGCCAAUUGUUUUCUAAAAUAUGACAUGUUUUCUUGACAUAAUGUAGCUACAUCUAAACCAGAAGCUUCAUAUUCGAAAUACUUAAUUGUAAAUACACCACAAUCACUAUUGUUGCGUUGAAGUGGAAUGGAGUCGACAAUGACAAGUGGCCAAGGUUCCUUGUGUGUUGAUGAUCCGCCUCUCCUAACAAAGAAUCCAGUAGCAUCGAGCAAAUUUGGCACCAUCUCUUGAAUUGGCUCUAAUAUGCUUCUCAUAUCUUCGGCACUCGUCAGCGACGGAAGCGAAUCCCAUACCUUAACUUGACAACGUACCAAGUCCAAGCAUAAUAGAAUCCAAUGAUUGCCAUGGAUAUUGAAUGGAGAGUAAAUGUAAUCAACAUUCACCCAAGGAUCUUGACAGUCUUAUUUUGAUCCGACAACAUAGUCAACCUGCUUACUAAAUGUGAUAAACUACUUACUAUAGACUGAAAAUGAUGAGCAGGGUCAAUCUUGUACAUGGGACCGUUAGUUGAUGUCGAAGCCAUACUGAAACCUGCAUAAAAAAAAACUAAUUAAAUAUAAUUGCAUAAGAGACUUACUAAACAUGGAUGCACUAGCAUCUUGGGACUUCUACUCAAAAUUUUGGAAGGUGAGAGAUAGAUGCGAGAUGCUGGAAAACUUCAAGGCAAAGUUGCUAAGUCUAAUAAAAUUGCUAACCCUAAAGCCUUAACACCUAGUAGAGUAGCUAAACAUGCAUUCUAAACGGUAUAGGAAGUUUACACUCUUAUAUUGGGACUUCUACUCAAAAUUUUGGAAGGUGAGAGAUAGGUGCUGAUAGGUGCGAGAUGAUGGAAAACUUCAAGGCAAAGUUGCUAAGUCUAAUAAAAUUGCUAACCCUAAAGCCUUAACACCUAGUAGAGUAGCUAAACAUGCAUUCUAAACGGUUUAGGAAGUUAACACUCUUAUAUUGAGACUUCUACUCAAAAUUUUGGAAGGUGCGAGAUAGGUGCUGAUAGGUGCGAGAUGAUGGAAAACUUCAAGGCAAAGUUGCUAAGUCUAAUAAAAUUGCUAACCCUAAAGCCUUAACACCUAGUAGACUACCUAGACUAGCUAAACAUGCAUUCUAAAGAUUGUAUUCUAUUGGAACUACAUCACUAAAAACAUUAACAAAGUAGAGAACAACAAUGCAGCUUAUGAUAAUGUCUUUCAACAAAUUGCAAAGGAAAUGGUCUUUCAACAAUGCAGCUUAUGAUAUUCUAUUGUACUGGUAGCUUUGCAGAGUUUAUAUGAGAUACCAAAUAUAUGUUCGAAUUCAAGUUCUAAACUCCAAGGUAUGGUUUUUCUAUUAUUACAGUACAUUGCAAAGGAAAUGAUGGAUACGGCACUGCCAACGUAGAGGAGUGGAUAAGAAAUGGAGAGGUCCGGUGAAAACAAACCUGAAAUCGAAAUGGAUGGAAGUGGAGAAGCGUCCGCCGGAGUUGAAGUCGAAAGUAAAACAGAGACCCGUGCAGAAGAAAUGGAGACCGUUCGGUGAACAAGUUGAAAUCAGAAAAAUAUAGCGCGAGGAGUCGUGGAGAAGAAAUGGACGGAAGAGAAAAACGUUCACCGGAGGCGGGAGAGAGUUGAAGGGGGUAACUGUAAACGCGGGAGAGUUCAAAUGCUCUGGUUUACGUUUUUCUUUUGAACGGCCUUCUGUCUUUGGGUUGAAGAAAAGGAAAAAGAAGAAAAGAGGAAGGAAAAUAAAAGAGGGUAUUUUCGUCAUUUCACCUCCAAUUUAUCCUAAAUCUCAACUUUUUUACAAUCAAUCCUAAAACUCUUUUUCUACCCCAUUUUUGGCCUAUUUUUGUCAAUUCCCCAGUUUAUUUUGGAAAAAUGACUCUUGGCAAUGCAGGAACGACAGCGAACAACCCAAUCGAAUGGCGUGGGUUUGCUACCUGCGGCAGAACGAAGAAGGAACUCAACGCGCAGAAGGUUGGAUCUGGGGUCUUUUAGUUCGGUUCACGGCAGCAAAUGAAAACCUGAUUGCACAGACGUCAAAGGUGUUAUUCGCGGAAGAAGUCGAGCAGCAGCUUUGCGAAGAGACGACGUGCAACGGAGAGACUGUAUACAGACGGACGGAGAAUCGCGCGGCAGUGCAGAAAACGGAGGAGAAAGGAAUGGGCGGCUGCUGGGCUUGGCUUCGACGGAGACAGAGGCGAUUAGGAUGGGGCACGGCGACGCAGAUCUGGACGACAGCUGCAAGGCGACGCUUACAACUUGCUUCGCGAACAGAGAUGGCGGCCGACGGUUGCAGCGGCGGCUGGGUAUGGUAGAAAAGAAAGAGAAAUGGAAGAAGAAUAGGGUCGGCGGCCGUGGAUCAGAGAAGAAAAGAAGGAGGUAGGGCACGGUGAAGGAGAAAAUAGAAAAAGAAAAUGAAGGGGAAAUGGGGGGUUGCGCGCGGGAGGUUUAUGAGAUUUUUUCUUUUCUUUUAUUUAAAUUAAAUAAUAAAACUAAAAUAUAAAUAAAUAUAUAUAUAAUUAUAUUAUCACAUUUUCAAAUCUUUUUUUCUCCCCCUUCAACAUAUUUUCUUCAAAAAAUAAAUCUUGUACAAAUCGAAUAAUUUUCUUAAAAUAAAUUACCUUCGAGUUCGGGGCGUUACAUAGAGCCUAUCGCUUCUUUAAGAUACAUGAUCUUACCGAUUCAGAGAAAUUAACCACAGGCGUUAUUAGUUUUGAUGAUCUGGCAUUGGAUUGGUACCAAGCACAAGAAGAGUUUGAAGUUUUUAAGAAUUGGGUUGACCUGAAAGAACGAAUGCUUGUACAGUUUGAUCAAUUCGGAGAAGGAACUUUGGUUGGAAUAUUUUUCUCAAUCAAACAUAAAACAAAUGUAGAAGAAUACCGCAACCGAUUUGAUCGCUAUUUAUCUCUGGUAACAUUUCUUCAAACGAUAGUGUUAGAGAAGACUUUGAUGAAUGGGCUUAGCCCAUGAAUAAAAAUGGAAGUGGAAACCGUGGAACCGAUUGGGUUGGCCCAGAUGAUGAAAUUUGCAUUGAAGAUUGAGAAUAAGGAACUUAGUGAGAAAAGAGUGUGGGUUGAGCAGUGCGUUUCAUGUAAAACUGAAACUCACCCUACCUAUUGUGGAAAACAACAAUACAAUGAUGACUCAGGAAGAAACCAACAAUGGAAAGUCUGCUGAUGAGAGCUAUCACCCUGAAGGGAGUUACUGAUAGAACUAAGACAUGCACAGCAGAAAAAGAAUCAAAAUUCUACCCUAAUUGGGCUUAAUUAACGAGACUAAACCAAAAAAUACUUACAUUCGAAGCUGUGUUUUAUUCAAACAACCAUUAAGUUUGACUUAGUAUCCUCUAGACUCAUAAUCAAGUUGUGGGACCCAUUGGAUGAAAGAACCGGACGAGAGAAAUAGAUGAAAAAAAAUGGGCGUGGUAAAUUUUCUUUUUUUUUUUAAAGUAAAUAAGAAAAAGAAAUUUCAUUUGGUGUGAAAGCCUAAAUUCAAUAGUUAACUCAUCAAAUGAGUUCAAAUGCCCCAUUUAUAAGGAUUUUUCAUUCAAAAUUGUAUGUCCAUGCAAUACUAAAGUCCAACAACUCAAAGUCCACUUUCUCUACCAAGGACUUGAUAAAAAAAGAGAAUAUGAGUUAAUAGGAAAAUGAAAGGGAAUUCCUUGGAAAGUUGGUUUGUGUGUCAUUAAAAGUCAAGGUGGAAAACAAAGUACAACAUAUGGCUAAAUGUGAGAGUAGGCGUGCAAGAUUUCUAGGCGACUAAGAAAAGCAUGAGAACCUCUAAAGAAAGGUAUUGGUAUGGCCAAGGUUGUGUGUGUGUGUGUGUGGCUGAGAGGAGUGGUGUUGCCAAGAUAACCUCUAAGCACACAAGGAACGCUAGGCAAGAUGGACAUAAUAGGUGGCCAAAGGAAAGGCAAAAGAACCUCUAAGGAUUCAAUUAUGUGCCCAAGUAGUAAGGUAAGAACCUCCAAGAACAUGUCAAGGCGCCAAGCAUGAAGAUUUGUAGGUGUAGGCAAGAAAACCUCUAUAUAAAGAGUUGUCAUGAGCGGCCAUUUGAGCUUAGGCGAGAUGGCUUUGCUCAAUGAGAUGACUUAAGCUAGGCAGUCAUGUGUACAUGUCACAUCCCAAACCGUACUGCAAUGAAAAUGUCAUAGUAUUAGGAAUAUGAUGUGAGUUUGUUACAAGUUUGAAAUUUUCUUAUCGCAAAAUAUUAUUCUCAAACUCCUUUUAUACUAUUAAUAAAACUCAAAACGCAACGGUGAGUCAACCUAAACAGCAAGUAUAAUAAAUACCUACCAAGAUGUUUAUUAAUAACAUGUGUUUGAUACAUAAUUACUACACUUUGACCAAACAACGAAUGCUUAACUCUUUUCAAAACGUCUGGUCAUCUCGCUGCAAAUCCUUCAACCUUCUUCUCUACUUGGCCUAAACACCUUAUCUUGGAAGAUGAAUUUUUGAAAGAAUGUCUAAAAGACUAAGGUUUUAUGAAAUCCUUUUUGCAAUACCUUUUCAUAAACAUCAUUUCGCAUAAACAACAUCAAAUAAUUUUAUCUCGCAUAAACCUUUCUUUAUCCUUAACAUACUCAUAACAUAACAAUUUCACAUAAACACACAUUAGUUAACAUUCAUUCCUUUCACCAAGGAUUAUGAAUCGUUCUCUACACUUUGAUGUAGAACAUCUCCCUUCUUGAUGUUUCUUGAGUUUUAUCCUAUUGGAGGGGUUUGAAUUACCAUUUUUAUAGUUUAGGAUUAGUUAUUUGAAUUACCAAUUUUGUAUCUUGAGUUAGUUAUAACUAACUCAACUCCAAGUUAAACUAACUCAACCCCAAGUUAGUUUAACAACUCUUGUAAUCUCCAGCCCCUAUAAAAUGGCUUCUCAUUUUCCUUAAUAAGACAUUAAAAAAAAGAGGCAUUAUACAUAAAGAUUUUUAGCUUUGCAAUUACUGCAUCAAUUGGUAUCAAAGCGUGAUCCUAGCUCACUCUUCCCUAAAAAAACUUGGAUCCUACCACUCUUAUCCAUGGACGCGGAAGCCUCCUUCAACCAACGCUUGCAGUUGGUAGAACAAGCUGUUGAAGAACUUCGAAAAGGGCAGUCAGAUAUACAGCAAUCGUUAGUAGAAUUAACAAACCUUUUUACCCGAUUUCAUGUCCAACCUUUAGAAGAAGCAAUUUAGCCCCCAAGAAACCCAAUUGCAGCAAACCACGAAAGACAAGAAAGACCAAGAAACCCAAUUGCAGCAAACCAAAUAAGACAAGAAAGACCAAGAAACCCAAUUGCAGCAAACCAAGAAAGACAAGAAAGACCAAGAAACCCUGAUGUAAACCAAGAACUACUAAGAAAUCAACCUAUUCACAUCCACAAUAAUCGAUUGUAUGGAAACAACGUACCUGGACAUUUCUUAAACGAUUCUAACUCUUCCGAUGAAGACAACUGGCUGAACAUUCAUCAAGAAUCUCAACAAAGGCUUGGACUUUGACCAUACUUUCAAGAAGAUUAAGAAAUACGUAUGAAAGUGGAUCUCCCUACCUUCAAUGGUCGAAUGGAUGUGGAAGUUUCUUGAUUGGAUCAAGAACGUAGAAAUUUUUUUCGACUAUGCCAAUACACCCGAACACAAGAAGGUUCGAUUAGUUGCUCUCAAACUUCAAGGUGGCGCAAGUGCUUGGUGGGAUCAAUUACAAAACAAUAGACGAUUAUUCGGUAAACAAUCUAAAGAUUAGCUGAAUAUCUUAUAAAAGAUGUUGCCGUAGGCUUAGUGGUGACAUGUGAGAAAGUAAGUUGUGUCUUUUAUGGCUCUUAAACGUUGAAGUCAAUCAAUGAGUUCCAAAUGCAAUAUUGGAAGUUUUCUUAAAUAUUUUGAUGCUUUUGCAUGUUGUUAAAGAACUUGGUUAGAUGUGAGAAAGAGGUUUAUGAGAUUGGUUACUUACUAUUCCCUUUUUCACUAUCAUUGCUACUCAAUAGACAUGCUAUGGGCUCGUGUUUCUGUAGAAUAUAAUUCAAAUGCUCUUUCUCUAGAAUAUAAUUUAUAUGUUCUCUCUACAAAUUUGAAGUAAUUUCUACUGUUUCUGCUAAUAUUCUCUGAAGCUUAUUCAAAAUGUAGUUGUUUAAUGACUGUUCAGAUUUAAAAUAUAUUAUAGAGUUAAAUUUAACACAGUUAAUCAACUUAAGCAUUUGACUCUGGUGUUCUUAAGAUAUAAAUUCAAAUCCCUAUAAUUUUAUCAUGUUGAUCUUUUCAAUCUUCUCACAUACCGUCUUCAUUUCAUAAUCUUGCCUACUAGCUGCAUAUCAUCAAUGAAAUUACCAUAUGAGUCCACAUGUGGAGCAAGUUGUUGGAGAUCAUUUUAAAUGAUUAACCAGUCUAUUGGUGGUUUGAGUCUUUCCUUUUGAAUCUAUUGGUUGUUCAAUGAUCUAAUAUUAACUAUGUUUAGAUUUAUGGUAAUUUUCAUUCUUUUACAGCCUUAAUAACCAAGAAAAGGUAUGCUUUGAUAAUCUUUUCUUUCUCUUCGGCAGGUUGGUAAUGUAAAAAGGAUACAUGUAUACUAUGCCCAUGGACUAGAUAGCCCAACCUUUGUUCGCCGGUGUUAUUGGCUCCUAGAUAAGUAUGUUAUGGUUGAAAGAAAAUUGUUAAAUUGCUUUCUACCAGUUGUUUCAGUGGGGUCUAUCCCCAUCAUGCCACAAGCAAAGAAAAAUGAAAUUAGACAGUGGCAGUAUAUCGUGUUCUACUUAUAUAAUUUAUGACUUGCUUCUACUUUUUGUUCAGGACCCUUGAACACAUUGUCCUUGUUCAUUACCGUGAAACACAAGAGGUUAGGUUCAGCACAAUGCAUCUGCCAGUUACUGAAAUAUUAUCUUGAGACAAACUUUUAUCAUUUGGACUACUACAUAUAUUUAAGAUCUGUUGAUUUUUCCUCCAUGGUUGCAAUAUUAAAACUUCAUCCAAAAUAAUGUUGUCAUGUGUGUCUUUAAAUUUUUCUGGCAGUCUGGCACCAUAUAGAUCUAGCAGUUGUGUAUGCAUGUCUUCCUCUCUAUCCUCCAUUGAAAAACUGGAUAAUUACAUGUUUGUGUUUUAUUUUGAUGAUUUAAUCCAACAUUUAUUUAUGGAUAAAGUCAGCCAUAAAAUACAUAUGUUUACUACUGCUUUUUGUACAUUUUAAAUACUAGAUUUCUUGAUGAUUGUUGUCUUUAAGUUGCUCUUAAUGUUGUUGCAUAUCGAGAAAUGCACUGUAAUUUUUGUACCAAUUUUAUCACUGCUUUUAACUAAAUCUUCAAAAAUCAAGGCACCACCUGGAUGUAGAGUGCUAUAUGGUGAUUCAAGUGUUGAGAGUUCUCUUUCUUCUGCUAUCCAUAAAUUUAUGGAAUGGAAAGGCAAUGAUCAUGACACUAUUUUUUGUCAGAUAAACAUUGGUUUCAUAUGCUUCAACUUUGUGGUGCUUCACAGCACACGGAUAAAACUUCCAAACAUUCUGCACCCAAUAUUACCAUAAUGCAUUUGGACACUUCAUUAACAACUUCUUACAAUUAGCCUUUCUAUAUUGAAAAUAAUUCGUUGUCUUAACUUCCUGUUGCUGCUAGUUUCAGAAUUUUCCAUCCACAUCGUUGAACUCAAAUUCUGGUUCUGUCUCUAACCCAUCAACUCCGUGGCUUUUAUCGGAGGAACUUGAUUCCAAGGCUACUCAUGUUUAUUCUCUUGGUGAAAAUGAAUUGUCAGGUGAUACUGGCCGAACCUGUCAAAAAUAAAUGAGUCAUACUUUGUUUGAUCAUUCAUUUUCUAAUCUUUCUUCUUUAUACUUUGGUUGUGUAAUUUCUUAAAAAAGAAUUCUGGUUUAUUUAUAGUAUAUUUGGUAGUAUGCAUGCCUCAGCUCCUUUAAUGCAUGUCUCUUAUAGUAUAUUUGGUAGUCUUUUAUAAUGUUACACCCUUAUUUUUAAUUCCUAAAACCUUUUAACUUUCCAAAUUUUCAUUCAUUCUUUUAGAAAAUUAUUUUCAUUAUUUACUUUAUGGUUACAAAACCAUCCAUUAACUACAUUAAUUAGACAAUUCACUCCAAUAAUAAAUAAAUAACUUUUUUAGAUCUAAGGUCUUUUCUCAUUCUACAAAUUUAAGAAAGAGUUGUGUAUUCCUCCAUCCAUAACUGAUCUCUCUAAUGUGUAUUCCUCCCUCCAUAACUGGCUUACUUUUGAUUGUUUGGAUAGAAAGAAACAAUAGAAUUUUUAAGGAUAAAUCAAGGUUUAUUGUUAACUUGUGGGAAGACAUAUGUAACUUGAUCGGAGUUUGGUCUAGGCGUCAUUCAUCUUGUAACUAAUAUGAUGCUACUACCAACUCUUAACUUUAAGGUUUGUUAGAUUAGGUUGUUCUGGGCUUCCCUCUAGCCUUCAACCUUGUAACUUUAACUCUAUGUUAAUAGAUAAUGACUCUUAUCCUAGGUUUAUCCUAGUUUGAAGGAUUCGGUUUCUUCUUCUUAAAAAAAAAAGUUGUAUUUCGACUACUAUUUGGGAGGAAAAUGUGCUUAACUAACCAAAAAUCUAAUGACACUUCCAAAACCAGUCAUUUCGAAAGAUGUUUCCUCAAUAAUAUAUUUAUAAUGCUCUUCGUUUAUAGAGUAAAACUGUAAAGCAACAAAACCAUUUUAAUUCAUUAUAUAUAUAUAUAUAUAUUUAUUUAUUUAUUUAUUUAUGUAUGUAUAUAUAUAUUUAUGUAUGUAUAUAUAUAUUUAUGUAUGUAUAUAUAUAUUUAUGUAUGUCACUACUACAAAAAAGGCCUUUCUUGACGUUUGUUGUUUUUCUUUCUUGACGUUUUUUGAAAAAAAACGUCAAGAAAGGGGUAGUUCCAAAGAUAAAACGUCAAGAAUUUUUAUGAAAAGGCGGGGUAGGUCAAUUUUCAGAUUUCUUGACGUUUAUUAAACAUCAACUAAUAUGUAUUUUUUCUUGACGUUUUAAAAAUGUCAAGAAAUAUCUAUAAAAAUUUUGACGUUUUUAAAACGUCAAGAAUGUAUAUAUUCAACAUUCUUGACAUUUUUCAAACGUCAAGUAAUAUGUACUUUUACUUGACAUUUUAAAAACGUCAAGAAAUAUCUUAAAAAUUAUUGAUGUUUUAAAACGUCAAGAAUUUUUAUAAAAAGCCGGAGAAGAGUUAUUUUUUAAAUUUCUUGAUGUUUUUUAGACGUCAAGUAAGAUCAUUUUUCUUGACAUUUUAAAAACGUCAAGUAUUAUUAAAUAUAUAUUUAUAUAUAUAUAAGAAAAUAUUGGGUUGAAUCCUUCGAAGCCCUAGACUUGUCUCUGCCGCAUUCGAAAAUGCCAAGUUCUCUCUGAGGAUCUCUCACUUCUGUCUGUCCGCGUUCACUAUGUCGUCUCUGAAAAUGCGUACUAGAUCCUUCGCUUUCAGUCGUUCACCAUCGACUGAGUACGAGAUCCCUAAGACUUCCGCCAUCCCUAAUACUCUGAAAUCGUCAUUCGUUGUCCCUCAAAAUUGUCGUCCUUCUCUCGGAAAACGUCGUCCUUCUUUCGAGUCUUCAUUCCCCUUUAUGUCGUCCUUCUGUAUUUAGAGGUUAUACUUCAUUCCCCUAAAACUUCCAUUCACUGGUUUCCAUAUUUCAAGAAUUUGAAAUUUUUAUAGGAUAUUGCUAGUGGAAAUUAAGUCAAUUCCGUUUGCUCCCAAGCUACCUCCUAAUUAUGCUGUCUGGUUGGGAGAAAUAAAGUCUUUGUCAUAUUUCAAGGUAGUGUAUGUUAACCAACACUUAGUGCAUUUUUGUGUUUAUGAGCUUAUUUUAGUUAAUAUGUUUAUGGCAUAUUAUACGAUGAAAUUGUAGUCGUUUAACACAAAAUUUUGAGGUUCUUUUUCAACUAAUUAUGCUUUAUCUAAUAUAUUUUUCAAAUCUUAAAGAAGAACUUUUGGUUUCAUUGGAGUUUAUCAUUAGAGGCAUUACAAUAUUGGCUGCCUCUCAGUGGGCUAUAGGUUUUCCAAUGGUCAUUUGAGACUGGUUGAUAAUAGCAAAAGUUAGAGCUUGAGAAGAAGGAGCAAAGAAAGUAGUGAAGACAAAAGAAGAAAGAAAGCUGAGUGAAAAACGAAAAUUGACAAGGUAGAGAUGUGAGAUGAAAAUGAUGAUGAGAAGUGAAGGAGGCACGACACAAUACUGGUACACAAUAACAAAGCCUUGAUAAUUAAAAAAAGGAUGGUGCCAAGAACAUUUAAAUACAAAAAAAGAAAAAGAAGGUUCUUGCAAGUGUAUUGAGUGAAUGGGAGAAAGAAAGGAUAAAAAAGGUAGAAAGAGAGAAAGAGAAGUCAAGGGUAGAGAUACAUAGCUUUGUAUAUAGAAACUUUAUGUUUAUACUCCAUUAUACGUUAUGGAGAAUAUAACAUCAUGAUAUGUUUGAUUCAAUUUGAAUGAUGCAAUUAUUUAUUUUUCUGCAAUAAUUCUACUUCUAGAACCUAAAUUUUGAAAGCCUACUAAUUUUGCAGAAUUAAUUCAAGACCCCACUUUUGCUCCCCUUCCUACCUAUGAUUACUUUUUGCUUAAACUUUAAAACUUGUUUGAAAUUUUUUGCUGAAACUUGUAAAAUUUGUUUGAAGUUCGUAUAUCUCUCACAUAUUGCAAGUUUUCUUAAUUAUUUUAUUGAAUUUCCUACGACCCAACUUUUCUAGGUAAGUCGAAGUCAUUAAUUUCAAAUAAAGACCUGAGUUUACACAAAAUCUCAAUCUCAAAUAAUUUCAAAGUCUCAAAGAAAACAAAAAAUUUAUAUAUGGGCCCUGUUUAAAAUAGCCAACACUUUCAAGAAAAGUUUACUAAUUCGUGAAUACAGUUCAACUACAAAAUUUUCUAAACAAUCUCAAGUACUAAAACAAAACACGUGAAACAAAACAUUAAGCAGAAGCAAAUUUAAAAUAACCCCUAUGGCAAUCACGCUUCCUUCCUGCUCCUCGCUGGUUUGUCGUCUUUAUUACCUUUGCCUGAAAAUUAAACAUAAGGAGGGUGAGUAUAAAAAUACCCAGAAGAGACCCUCUACUGGUCCCGUCAGGGGAAAAAUAAAUUGUUAACAUUCUAUUGGGACACCCUGUACAGUCGCAGUCUUGUGAUCCUGUAGGAUGCACAUUUCAGUCUAACGCCCCGAGGGACGUACAUUUCAGUCUAGUGUUCUGCAGAGACACAUAUCAGUCUAAUGCUCCCGAAGGUGCAGAAUAAUUGGUGAUCCCGUGGGACACCUACAAGGCACACAUCCCAAUAAAAGCUAACAAUUUUUCCCCUCAGU